This 69591-nucleotide long non-coding RNA is filed under the name Ananas comosus (pineapple). RNAcentral describes it as "long non-coding RNA (ACOM_LNC002815)". The record is from RNAcentral. Lineage: Eukaryota; Viridiplantae; Streptophyta; Magnoliopsida; Poales; Bromeliaceae.
UUUAGGUUAGAGAUGUAGAGAGAGAAAGAGAGAGAAAGUGCUUAGCUUAGAGAUAGAGAAGCUGAGAUUAGAGAAAGGGGGAGAAAGAGAGUAUAAUUAGAGAAAUAGAGAGAGAGAGAGAAAGGGUGAGAGAGUUAAGAUUAGUAAAAAGAGAUCAAGAGAUGGGAUUAAAGAGAGUAAGAGAGUUUAUGUUUAGAGAAAGAUGAGGUUAGAGAGUAAACGGGAAAAGUAGGUGAUGGAGUGGAGAGAGAGAAAAAUAGAGGGUGGAAUUACGAAUUUAAUGAUUAUUAUAAUUCAUUAAUAUAAAGGUACAUACCUUCUCCCAAUGGAAUAAUAUUAUUACUUUAGUGUGAAUCUCAUUUCCAAAUGAAUCUAAUAUUAUCAAUCAAAUUACUUGAUAUAUUUAGCCAAAUGUCAUCAUUUUAUUUUGUUUCUGUUAGAUUAGCGAAAAUUGUAAAAAAAUAACACAAACUAAAUACAGCUGUAGAACUAAAAUUCUCAUUUAGAAUAUUUCUUACUAUUUCUUCUAUAGAAGUUUCCAAGACCAAACUUUGCCUAGAUUAAUCUAAUUUACCCACGAUUUGUAUUUCGAAAGAUUUUGGGUGAAAUCCGAAUCCAUAUUUUGUUGGCUUAUAGAAUUUCAAUAUGGAUCCAAGAAGGACUAAUAUCAGGCUUAUGAUCGAUUCUCCAAAAAUUCAAACUAGAGUUAGGCAAAUAUGAAAGAAAAACAAAUUUUUACAUCUCAGAUGUUUGUAUCCUCAUUAUGUAUGUUAAUCCAAAAAAAAAGAAUAAUGGGUACAAAUUAUUUGAUAAUAGUCCAAUAUUAAUUAGAUAUAUUUCCAAUCCAAAUGUGUACCCUAGUAAGUCACAUGUAGUCCUAUUCAAUGAUGGUUGUCAAAUAAAUGCUCUUUAAUUAUCUCAUGAGGAGAUCAUAUAUUGUUUAUAAUAACUUCUAUUAGGAAAUUGAUUUUUCUUUUAAGGGAAAAGGGUAUUUCUAUAUUUUUCAAUUUUUUAUUCAUUUUCAUCUUUAUAUAAUAUAUAAUGAAAUAUAUUGAUCUGUAUUAUUAAUAUAUAUAAAUGUCAGUAUACAUAUAUGUAAACCACUUCAAUUAAAGGCCAUUUAUAACCUUUUUUUGUUGACAUAAAUUGUACUAUGUACAAAAGAAAAUUAGUAUUUUUUCACAUGAAAUAAUAAUUAGAGGAAUAAAAGGUUGAUAUAUUUUAUUACGUCCAAAUGUGCAAAAUUGAAAUCAUAGAUUACUUUUCUAAUUAAUACAGUGUGACUAAUUUGGUUACUCUUAUUAAAUACAUUAAAGCAACAUCAGAUUCUUAAGUCAUGCAGAUUUAAAUGGAGCAGAUUCUCCCUUACAUCCCUUAUAUAUUAUUUUUAUAUUUAAAUUUAUUUUAAUUUAGUUAUUUAAAACAUAUUCUAAAAUUAGAUAAAUUAAACAUAAAAAUAACAACAUUUAUCAAAAUAUUAUACUUAUUAAAUGGAUGAACUCCUAUACUAUAUUUUCAAAAAAGAGAACGAGCAAUUUAGGAGAAGAGUCCCUUUCCCCUCAACAACCACAUAACGUAAUAAGCUACAUAAACAUAUUAUCUUACAUUAUUAUUUUACUAUUUUUGCAGGUUCAAAUAUUAUUUUACUAUUUUUAAUAGAGCAAGUACAAUUUCAAUGAAAAUGACUAAGAGCUAAUUAAGCUUUCGCCUGAUCGAGGUGUUAGCCUCGGAUUAAAAAUGAAAGUCCACACGACUUUCUCACCAGGUGUACACUGUUCGUAUUAAGAAAAUAUUAAUUAAACUAAUUGCAAUGAGGAAUGAUUAGGCUUUGACUCAAGGGAUUAGUAGCCAAUGGUUAUACUUUGCUUCUCCUUCCCCAUCAAAAGAUGUAAGCCAUUAUUUUCACAAAUUAUUGCCUACACUUAGUACAUCCGUAUGUACAUUCGUGUCCGUUCAAUAGCUUUUGAUCGUGUAUUAUAUACAGUGCUUGAAUCUUAAAGCAGAUAAUUUAUUGCCAGUUGGACGGUCCUGUUAUGAAUAGCGUAUGAGGAGUUUUUAUGUAUAUAAUUAGAUUUAAAUAUUUCAAACCGGCGGUUUGGAUUCAGUAAGCUGUUAAUAUUAAUAGGUUAAUUCUUUACUUUUGAUAUCAGAACCACUCACAAAUCAGAGUUACUUAAGCUUAAAUAUUUUGGGCUACUGAUUUGAAUACAAUAGAUUGCUAAUUUUAGCGCGGUAAGCUGACUAUAGGAAAAAAGAUAUCUUAUUUUAAUCUCGUAUAUUGAUUAUACAGCAAAGAUUAUUUUAGUUUUUGUUUUGUACUUUAUUUCUGUUUUAAGUGGGCUUAAAAAUUUAUAAUGAUAGUUGAAUUUAAGAGAAAAGCAUUAUGAAAUGCGUUGACAUUUGAUUUUGUUAUACGUUUGUUUAGCACAAUAGUAUAAAUUGAAUGUAUUAUGUAAUAAUAAUAAAUUGUAAAUUUUGGAAGCUGCGUAAAAUGGGAUCUGUUUAUCUAGUUAUGUAUCUAUUAAUUAAUUUACAACCCGAAAAUAUGUUCAAAUAGAGAACUGAUGUAGCAUGCUAAUUAUUAAUUCCAGAAAAAAAAAAUUGCAUGUGAAUUCAAUAAUAAUUCUAAAUUUUUAGAUUUAUUUAGGAAAGUAAUUAAAACACAACCUAAAUUGUAGAUUAAUUUUUAUGUCUAACCUUUUUAAUUAGGUUUGUUAUAGAGGCAUAGCAUGUGUCUUUGAAAUUAUUAAUAAGAAAUAUGUAUAUUAAAUCAACUUAUCGUGGGAAUGUUAAUAUCAUCAUUCUCUAAUUGAGAGAACGAAUAUAAGUUACAUGCUGGAUCUUUUAACAUGACAAAUAAUUUAAUCAAUCGUUUUAUUAUUGAUCACAGCUUUAAAAGUUGUGCGUACAAUGUUUUCAUUGAGCUGGUGCAAGCAAUAAACUUUUUUCUUUCUUUCUUUCUUUCUUUCUUUUUUUCUUCCUCCAUGUGAAAGAAGAUUCCCAUUUGGGGACUACAUCUUUAGUCAACUUCAUUGAAUCAAAACACGUGAGAGGAAAAGUAAAACAGAGUAUGAGAGGUGAAAUAUUCAAAGUAAAUUAUUCAAUACUCUGCCCCACCUCAUUCCAUAUUAGGGAUAAUAUAUUUCCAAAUAGUUAUUUCUUUACCAAACCUCAUUCCAAAACCAUGGCCAUAGUAACAUACAUACCCUAAUUUUAUAUGAAGCAACUAACUGCAAUUGGAACAUUUAUAUAUUAUUUUAUCAAGGCCAACUUUAAAAAAAAAAAAAAAACCCCAAACACCCCUUGUACUUAACAAGAAAUUGUUGUCUACAUUUGGUGUAUCUAUACGUCUUGUGCAUUGCAAAUAAUAUUUGAUGAUCGGUAUCUUAAAAUUUAGAUUAGCAGGUGUAAUCCAUAAAAUGUAAAGAGUUUAUCUUGUGAUGGUAAGUUUUGAAAACCGGUUGUAUAGGCAUCAGGUAAUAGAACAGAAUAGGGGUGGCAAUCCAGCUCGCUGUUCGCGAGCCAGCUCGUGUUCGGCUCGAAAUGAGCUCGAGAUCGAAUCGCUCUUUUAGUAAACGAGCCGAACAUGAGCUGAAUUUUUCAGCUCGUUUAAUAAACGAGCCGAACACGAGCUGGGGUUAGCUCGCUCGUGUUCGGUUCGAUAACAGCUCGAAUACAUAUAUUUUAUACUUAUAUAAUUUAUUUAAUUUAUAUUUUUAUAUAUAAAUAAAUAAUUAUAUAUAAUAUAUUUUUAUUAUUUAAUUUUUAGCGAAAUAAAAAUAUAAAUGCGAGCUUAAUUAUAAAAAGACUCAUUUAUAUGUAAAAUUUUAAUUAUUAGAUCAAAAUCUAAUAGAUAAGAUUUUAUAAAUUUAUUUUUUAUAUAUAUUUAAUCUAAUCCUUUUUAAUUUAUUGUUCGUUGGCCAGCUCGUGAGCCAGCUCGUGUUCGGCUCGUUAAUAAACGAGUUGAAUACGAGCUGAAUUUUUCGGCUCGAUAUUUUAACGAGCCAACCCCAGCUCGCUCGUGUUCGGUUCAUUUACACCCCUAGAACAGAAUAGUGCUCAAGUCAUAAAAAGUUUUUUGCCUAUUUUAAUCCUUUAGAAAUGGAUUUAAAGUAAUUGAGUUUCAAACUUAAGACGUUAGGUACCCAUUAUUAAGUUUGUAGCCAAUUAUGUAAGAUGAGGUUGGUGCUCGAUUAAUAAAAAGAUGAUGUGUGAAAUUUAUGAUUCUUAACAUGUAAGGCUUAUGAAUGGCGUUGAAUACAUCCACUGAAUUAGAUUCUAAUUUUAGGUUCUCCAUAAUAGAAUUUUAGCAAUACAGUAUACGAGAGUUAGGUCCUAAUGUUGAAAUAACUUAUUCAAUGAUAACUUGCAUGAUAUGAGAAUCUUCUUUUCAAGUUUGAAAUUAGGAGUCUGAAUUUUGCUCAGUGAAAGAUUUGUUGUCCGUAAUUUAAUACAAUAGCAUAUUUUAUCUAUAAGAUAAUUUAUUUUAUUUCGAAGAAAAUAACUUACAAGCUGAAUAUCAUCUGUUAGAGAGUACAAAAUUUUUAAACAAGUUAAAAAGCUAUGCUGAACAAAAAACUUAUGUAUUCAAAUAGGGCCUAAGUGCACGUAUUAUUCUAAUAAGGAAAAACUUCAAAUAUCAUUCCUGUGGUUUCACAUUUUUUCACUUUAGUAUUUUGUGAUGUAAAGUGUAUUAAUUUAGUGCCAUGUAGUUUCAUUUUUAUCUUUUUAUUAUUAAUUUCACCAAUUUUUUUGUUAAAUCAGUGACAAAGUUAAAACUAAAUAGUACUAAAGUGAAUAUUCGAUAAACUUAGAUGGAGUAUUUGAAAUUUUUUGUAUGUAAUUUAACGAAAUCUUAACGGAAAAACUGACGAAAAGAUAAAAAUGAAAUCACAUGAUAUUAAUUUGAUACACUUUAAACCACAGGAUAAUAAAAUGAGAAAGUGGAAAACCACAGGUGUGGUAUCUGAAGUUCAUCCUUCUAAUAAUACUAAUACACUUGGUUCACGCAAUAAUUUGUUUCUUCUAACCACCGUAUGUGCUCUGCUAUGUCCUUGGUCAGAAUCCUCGUUCCACCACACGUAUAUAGACAUAUACAUGUAAACUCCUGAGUCAUGGGUUUAUUGUAACACACAACACACAUUCCUCUUCUCCAAUCCAACAUUCCAACUAUGGGGUUCAUCACCCCAAGAACAUCAUCUCCUUACACCAUAACUCUCCUCCUCAUCCCCCCAGCUUUGCUUGCCCUGACUUAUCUCAUCCCCCUCCCCGACUUCUUCGCCCCCUGCGCCGCUCCGCUGCUGUUGUCGUCGUCGUCGUCGACCCCGUCCCCUCCCCCCGACCCCGAAUUCCGCCUCCUCAUCGGCAUCCUCACCCUCCCCAACCGCUACGCCCGCCGCCACCUCCUCCGCCACGUCUACUCCCUCCAGCAACCGACGAGCCCCUCCUCCGUCGCCCGCGUCGACGUCCGCUUCGUCUUCUGCAACGUCACCGACGAGGUCGACGCCACGCUCGUCGCCCUCGAGGCCGCGCGCUACGGCGACGUCGUCGUCCUCGGCUGCGACGAGAGCAUGAACACCGGAAAGACGUACACGUUCUUCGCGAGCCUCCCCGACAUGCUCGACGGCGACGGCGGCGACGGCAGCACGACGAGUCGGCGGGCGCCGUAUGAUUACGUGAUGAAGACGGACGACGACACGUACUUCCGUCUGGACCGAUUGGUGACGUCACUGCGCGGCCAGCCGACGGAGGACUUCUACUACGGCGCCGGCCUCCCCUUCGCCGACCCCAAAUUCCCCCCCUUCAUGCUCGGCAUGGGGUGCGUAAUUUCCCAUCUUUUAAAUACUCCCAAAUUUAAAUUUAAACUUUAAAAUUUGAAUCCAAUUCACCAAUGUAUGGUCGUUGUUCCCUUUUUUUUUUUUUUUUUGUAAUCAUUUACUAAGGAGGAGGUGUUUGGUUUAUCAAAAAUACUUUGGACUUUUAACCAAAAAAAAAAAAAAAAUCGUCUAUUUCAUUCUCAGAAAAAACAGUUUUAUUCUGGAAAAAUAUUUUAUGUUUAUUUGAAUUUUCAAAAAAAUAGUUUUCUUCAAAAAAAAUUUAAGAGAUCUUAUAGAAAAGUCUCCUUUUCGUUAACGUAAAAUGAGCUAUCUAGUUAUUCUAACAUUUGACUUAAUUAACAAAUUCAACGAGUUUUUACAGUGAUUAAUUAGUACCCAAAGUAUUAUUAUUGACUUUUCCAUGAAAACUACCUAAAUUUUGCAUAAUGAUUUUGUAAUUUUACAUAUAUUAAUGUUUUAUAAAAAAAAUAAUCAAAUCAUAAAUACGUGACACCGUUGACGCGUACUUAUUUAUUAUCAAAAAAAAGUAAUAUGUUAAUGUUUUAAUAUUCAACAGGUAUAUAUUAUCGUGGGAUUUGGUGGAAUGGAUUGCCACGUCGGAUAUUCCACGUAAGAACGCGGUGGGGCCCGAGGACAUGUUAACGGGGAAAUGGUUAAAUACGGGGAAUAAGGCGAGGAAUAGGUAUAAUACGGUCCCGUAUAUGUACGAUUACAAGGGCCCUACUUCGGGGGACUUUUUGGUGGACACCAUAGCGGUGCACCAGCUCAAGGAGAAUUCGAGGUGGGCCCACACGUUGAAGCACUUUAACGUUACCAAGGGAUUAGAAAAACCCUCUAAAUUUUACCAUUUUUCUUAAUUUUUUUUUUCCCUUUUUGUGGGGGUUUUAUUUUUUGUGUUUUGGGGGGGAAUUGGUUUAAUUGUAAUAGAUUUUUUUUUUUUACAUAUAAUUUACGUGAUUUAAUUUGUUAGAAGAGGAACAAAAGUUUACAAAUUUCAGUAUUUGUUUGUGAAUUAAAGUUUGGAUUUUUUUUUUUUUUUUUUUUACUGAUGUUUACUAAAAAUUUUUAUAUUAGUAUACAAGAAGGUGAAAGCAUUUAAAGCAACUAAUUUUUUUUAGUUUUUUUUAAUCUCUUUUUUUAUGUAAUUUGUUUCGUUGUCAAUUUGAGCAAAGUUAAUUAUGGCGUUUUGAAAAGGUUGAGUUAAGAUCGAAAUUAGUUUAUAACAAAUCAAAUAGCGAAAGUAUGUAUUUACUAAAACAAAUUGGGUCAUAGGUGCUAUUGAGUCUUUUAAUUUUAGUGUUUUUUUUUUCCCUAAUUUUUUAGACUAAUUGAGGUUUCUCUUGUUAAAUAUAUCCCCAACUAAUUAAAAAUUGAUAGGAAAUAUGCUUUGAAUGCUUAGUCAUUUAUUAAAGAGUACUGAGAAAAAAAUUCUAGGCACCAAAAUGAUAUUAAUGUAUAUUUAAUCUUUUUUUCAAUACUUUAAUUACAUUGUAAUAUUUCUUAAAUUAACACUACGAUUAUAGUAAGAAGCGCACGAACAAAAUAAAUUUUAAAUUUAAGUUGCAAUGGAUGCGUAAAACAGUUUUGCCUCGUUAAGAAGGAUUUUCGAAGGGAUAAAUUUUGAUCAUGAAUAUAUAGCAUUUUAAAGGGAUAAAUUUUAACCAUAACCAGAACCCGCGAUUUAUAGCUUAAAGAUGAGACCAAUUAUUAUGUAUAAAACAUGGACUCGAAAACUCUAUCAUCAGAAAUAAUAUGAGUAUGAUAUUCAUAGAAAUAUAAUAACUUGUGUGCAAACAUAUAUACACAAGCACGCAAAAUAGGCAUACAUAAACAUGCAAACAUGCAUAAACACGCAAAAAUUACGUACAUAUUUAAUAAAAGGGAUAAUAUUUUCUUCAAAAUUUUAAAAAUAUCUAGUUUACUCGUGGUCGACUAAAAUGCCUUUGUUUAUUUAAAAAAAAUCAAAUAUACCUCUGCCCUCUAGGGUUCACUAAUAAGAUUGGGGUUUUUAGAAGGAUAUUUUAGGAAAUAUGGAGUAAAUUUAAAAAUUUUGAAUAAUAGGAAGGGAUAUAAAAGCAAAAAAUCCCAAUUUAUAUUUAUGCAUGCAAUAUAUAUAAAGAGAUUUUCAUAAUAAAUUUUUUAGAAAUAAAUAAUGAUUCUGGAUUAGUUUAUGUGAUCGAAUCAUCGAGAGAGGUCCAUUAACUCUUAUAAUUAUUUUUUGCAAAAUAAGCAUGGUGUAUAUAUAUNCAACCAGACUCUAUAUAUAUAUAUAUAUAGAGAGAGAGAGAAAGAGAGAGAGAGUUCUAUUACUAUAUAUAUUAUCGAUAGUGAUCAAACGUUUUGUGCUAUCGAAUUUUUUGUUAUUAAAUUUAUCUCUUUGACUAAUUUUAUCCAUUAUAUUAUACUAUUAAACUAACCAUUCACUCAAUUUUAGAUAAUCACUAUUAUUCUAAACGCGCAUCUUUUCAUCUAAGAAUCAAAAAUCGCUUAGUACUAUAAUAGUAUAGUAGUCUAAUUUUAUAUAUAUAUAUAAAAUUAAAAUUAAUGCUACAAAUGCUUCGUAGAACAUGCCAAGUUGCACCAUGCACGUUGAUGAAAUUAAAGAGGGGGAAUUAAUUAAUUACUAAAUAUUAUCCUAUAUAUUCUUUUUGGUAGGUAAAUAAUUUUGGUUUGUUAUAUUUCGAGAGCAUUAAAAAAGAGAACAAUUGAAAAAAAAAAAAUAAUACUGCAAAAUACAUUCUCAUAUACAUGACAUAUCUCUUACAACGUGCCAUGAAUUGCGUGCAUAAUUUGGGACCUUAUAAAAUUAAUUAAAUGAAUACAUUUUAAGUUUUAUAGAUAUAUUUAUUUUAAGCCUGAAAUAAAUCGAGUCACGCAUGUUAAAUUAGAUCUGAUUUUCUUAUGUGAUUUUGUUUUGGUUUUUGCAACUACACUAGUAAUUAACUAAUAAGUUGAGUUCGAAAUCGAAACUGAAACCAACGAAAAAUAAUAUAUAUGUGUACGUACAUGAAUUUAUAGAAUUAUAUACCAACACUUCAUCAAAAUAUACCCUAUUAUUUUGAAUUUUGUUGAUAAUUUUUUCACUAUUGUAGAGUCAUUAAGAUAAAAUUGUGUUUGGAUUUCCAUUUGAUUGGUUAAAUUAAUUAAUUUGGGAGUUAUUUUCCCAAAAAAACCAAAUAGAAUUCGUACAUUGACAUUCUUAGGUACGUAGAACCUCACAUCUCAGAUCCAUUAUUAUAUAAAUUUAAUGUCCAUGAAGAUGCAAAUUUUAUACCCUAUUAUAUUAAAUUCAAUCAUCGUGUGGAAAUAGAUAAGUUUUUUUAUUUUUUAAUUAAUUGAUCAUACUAGAGAUUAGUGGCGAUUACGUAUGGUAAAGCUCAACCAGAAAAGGACUUCAAAAAAUUAAUUUACGUGUUGAUUUACAAGAAAAUGAAAGAAACUGAUAAAACAAAUUGGUCAAGGAGUGAGCGAAAACAGGUUUUAGAUAUGAGUGAUCAUAAUGCAAGGUUUAAUUUACAAUGAGUUUAAAUGAGUGCUCAAUUAUUUAAUUUCAUACAUAGUGAAAUAAUCAGAGUCGUAUUUCAAGUAGGGAUAUAUAAUUUAUUUUUUAUUUAUAAAUACUCACUUUAAUUCUUAUCCCAUCUUACCUAAUUAAACGCUAUUUUUCUUAUUCUCAGGAAUACUCAAUUUUCAUCCAAACGCAAAAUUCAUCAAAUCCCUGCUUAUACCUCAAUUUAUACCUAUUUUCGGAAUAUCCACUUUUUGCUUAUUUCCGAACCAAACGAUACCUUAGAGAUGAGCAGGAUUUUAUCCCUACAAGUAAGGGUGUAAUGUGAGCCGUAUUGGGUCGGGCACGGUCCACAUUCAUCCGGGCCAAACCGGGCCACAGGUCAGCCCGUCCCGGCCCGGAUAAAAUUCGGCCGGGCCGUUCCGGGCUGAAUUUUAUGGAUUCCCCGCCCGACAUGGCCCUCUGGCCCCGAUGGCACAGGUCGUGCCGGACCAGACCGGGUUCCGUACCAGCCAUUUAAUUUUUUAAUAUUUUAAAAAUAUUUAAAAUAUUAAAAAAUAAAAAAGUAAAAUGGUUCUUCUUCCGGUUAAUAUGUUAAAUCAAAAAAUAAAAUUUAGUAAUUUAUAAAGUAAUAAAAUUUUUAAAUAAUUUUAAAAAGUUAUGAAACUUUGAAAUUUUUUUAAAAAAUCUUUUUCUCCAAAGGUUUCUGAACAAUAAACCUUUGGAAUAAAUGUUCAUCCCCCAAGAAGGGCCUUGGGCCGUGCCGGGCCACGGGCCAAGCUAUCGGCCCGGCAUGGCCCAGGCCCAUAGCGGGCCUAGCGGGAGCGGCCCAGCACGGUCCGGCACGGGAUCUACAUGGCUAACUCAGAAAGUCAGAAACUUUUCAAGAAUAUAUAAGUAAUUGACCCAAUAUUUGAAAUAUAUUUAGUUUUUAGAAUAAUAUUUAAUUGCUAUAUAUUUAGUAAAUUGAUCAAUCAUACUUACUAAUUUGACAUAUGAACAAAAAAAAAUGGAGUGAUAAAUUGACAAUAAUAAAUCAAAAUUGGAAUUAGGGUUUGGCUACAUUUGUGUUAAAUCCCAAGUGGUCCGGCCUAAACCGGCCCAAACCGGCCCAAGAUAUGGGCCGGGCAGAACCCUUGCAAAAUAACCUGGGCUCGACCUAGGCCCAGCAUUCUCCUGAACCAUUGAUUCUAGAUCCAAGUCUCCCUUUUUUGAACUUUUGUUUUUUGUUUUUUUUUUUAAUUUAAGGACAAACUUCAAUUUAUCCUACUGCAGUUUAACAAUUUUUUUUAUUUUGUUAUUCCGCGGUUUUAAAAGUUACACUUAACCUAUGAUUCAAAAAAUUUCACUUUAAACAAUUUCACUUUCUACCCUAUCGGCGACAUGUUUUUUUUAGUGAAACAGAAUUAAAACCCCAUUCAUAUUUUAAGAAAAGUUUCAAAUUCAAAAAGGAUAUGCAAAUUACCUGCAGGUGUUUGGGAUAAGAUAGGACACAUGAAAUGCUUCUUCUCCAUCUAGUAAUUUGAUUAGAAAUUCGAAGAAAAAGUUCACGUCUUGGGUCUAAAAAAUUUGGUUGAUUUCGUUUGGCGUAUGUAAUGUUGAUAGUAUGGUUAGAAAAAUUGAGUAAGAUCAAGGCGAUCAAACAUAGGAUCUCCUGCUUUAAUACCAGAUCAAAUUAUACUGAAAUAAUUUUUUUUUUUUCCAAACACUAAAUCUAUCAAAAAAAAUAGUAAUGUAAUUUUUUAAUAUUCAUUAAUUUUAUUUCUCAACUCAUCAUGGUCCCUAGAAGUAGAAGAAAAAUUUACAUUAAUAACAAAAAGAGAUCAUGAAUUUGAAAUAUAGGUAGCAAUUAAAUCCAACAGCUCUAUGUAUUGUAAUUAAUACCUACUCAUAUCAUGAUCAUUAAAUAUUUUUCUACGAAAAGUACAUAAAUACUUUGUACUUCAUUAAUUAUUAUUCAAUUACAAUUUACGCCAACUAUGCAAUAUAUUCAACUCUCUUAAUUAAUUCAGAAANAAAAAAAAAAAAAAAAAAAACCCAUGACUUAUUUUAGUAGUUAAUAAUUAAUUAUAUUAUUUGUACUUUGUUAACUUUUCACUUUACUCAUCUUAAUUAGGGACCCCCCCACUGUGUGUUUUCAUAUGCCUAGCCCUACAUAGAUGAUACGGAAUUAAUUGUUUAAUUUGAUAUAUUUUUAUAAAUUCAAAGUACAUUAAUUCAUCUUAUUUUUUUAAAAAAAACUAAAAACAUUAUUGUGAUAAGUGUUAAUUUUGUAGCUAAUUAAAGAGGUUUACAUGUGGUCAAUAACAAUUAUUCGCGUGCUUCGAUCAAACUGAUAUAUAAACCUUUUUUUUAUUUUUUUAAUUUAUUUUUUUGGUCAAUGAGACUAUAAUUAAUUAAACAUUUUGAUCCACAUGCACCGAUCUCUACGUCUCACGUGAAAAAAGUGGACACGGCCAAAUCCUUUUGCUUGAUCAUGAAGUCAACUCGCACGUAUUAUUAUUUUACAUCAAUUUUCGUGCUCCAUGGUUUCAUGCAAUUCUCGUCAACUCUGCAUGCGCCUCGAGAUGAGACCUAGAUUCUCGUGUCAAUCUCGAGUUACGAAAUUAUUGCGUGCACCAGGUGUAUUCUUUAAUUAUAAACACCGCAUCUUAAAAUCUGAUUAUUAUUAUUUUAAAAUCAAUAUUCAAUUUGAUAAGAGAUCAGAGAAUCAUAUCACUAUAUUUACGAGGAUGGUGCAUGGUGCACUAGAUGAAGAAAUAAUUCUUUAAAUUUUUAUUUGUAUUUUUUUCCCCCUUUUGAAUAUGAACAAGCAAUAAGUACUCCUCUAUAAGACUCAACAUCAACUUCGCCUUUUAUGCCGCUUCCUCUCACAUGCUUUGUUGGUCUUGGUUUUCCCCUCACAUGCUUUGUUAUAUUAGUUCUACUAAAUUCAUUAUAUUAUUAUUAUGUAUUAAAAAAGAAAUACUAACAUUAAUAUUGUGGUCCUUCACCACCAUAAACCAUCUCCAAAAUACUUUGCGUAAAAAGCAAACUUCUUAAAUUGAGCAUUCAAAUUUUAAUUACUAUGAUAGCAGUCCCAAGGACCAUGUAACUUUGAUAGUUUUUUUUUUUUUUUUUUUUUUCGUUUUUGGUCGGGUUUUUUUUUUUUUUUUUUUUUUUUUUUUUUUUUUUUUUUUUUUUUUUUUUUUUUUGGGGCAACUCAAUAUGCGCAAAGAAAUUUUUUACACACUAUUUGUUUGAUCAUCAAUCAUUUGGGCCUUUUUAUUUUAGAAUAAUUAAAUAGAUUUAUGCUAUGUUGCAACCAUGUAAAAAAUUUCUGCACACUAAUUAAUUUCUAGAGAUUUGAAAAUUUGUCUAUUAUAUUGCAUCAAUCUUAUCAAUAUAUAGUAAAUAUGUUAGAACUAGUCAAGGCUAUAACAAAUAAACAAAUUAUUUUAAUUAUUAAAUAAAAAAUUAAUGGCGACAAUUUCUAACAAGUGAUCAUGUAAUUCUUCGCUCUCUCCACUUUGAAUCAGAGUAGAUCAUGAUAGACCAUAAUCACGUAGUCUUGCGUCAGAAACUGUUUCCAAUAAAUUUUUAUCCCUAAUUAUUUUAAAAAAUAAUACUAUAAAUAGAAGGAAAAUUGUAAUGUAUCUUAAGCUUACAUAAAAUUAAAAUGUUGUUUAUUAACUAAAACAAAACAAGAACCCGCACCACAUAAAAAUUACUAUGACAACUUCUUAAAUUAUUACGAAUGCUAUAAUUUUACAUGCACGUGGAGAGCGUAGCAAAAUUCAAAAGGGCAAAACUAGCUCUGGUCAAUGAAUGAUCUAUGAUGUGGAAGUACAAGUCCACACCAAAUCAAAAUAAUCUCCUCUCUCAAAAGCCCCUCCUCCAUAAGUAUCUCUCCCAUAGUUACAUAGGAGUGGUGCAACUCUACCUCCAUUGGACUCAACAAGGAGCAAAGUUGCACCAAAAGUCUCAGCCAUGGUGGUGCAUAAAACCCAAGUGCUCCCUCUCUCCUCCGACGUCCCCGUCAGCGCCGCCGUGACGAAGAAGCCGCUGUCCGUGUUCCCCAAACCCUCUUUCGCCGCCGGCGUCCUCCUCCUCCUCCCCUUCUUCCUCCUCGCCUUCAUCUACCUCUUCCUCUUCCCCCAGGAGUUCCAGCUCCAGUCCUUCAUUGCCUCCUGCAACCCCAUCGCCGCCUCCUCCUACGUCGGCUCCUCCGACGCCCUGACCACUCGCGUCACUCGCGAGCCCGACUUCCGCCUCCUUAUCGGUGUCCUCACCCGCGCCGACCUCUACGAGCGGCGCCACCUCCUCCGCCUCGUCUACGCCCUCCAGAUGGCCAACCUCACCGCGCACGUCGACGUCCGCUACGUCUUCUGCCGGCUCUACAAGGACGACCAGCGCAUCCUCGUCCCUCUCGAGAUCAUGCAGUACGUACUGUUAAAAUAGCCAGCCGAAGUCCUGUCGGGAUGCAUAAAUAUCUUGUUCGGUAUAUAUUUAGAGCGUGGUCAAAUACAUAGAAUGAAAUGAUAUGUAUAUUCAGCCUUUUAACUCAUUUUUUUAAAAAAUAAAUCACUUUAUAGAUGAAAUAUGCUAUAUAUAUCUUACUAAAAAGUCUUCGGAUAACUUAAUUUUGACAUCCAAAUAAUUCUAUAACUUUGUAUUCAAAAGGCACGACGACAUCAUUAUCCUCGACUGCGAGGAGAACCUCAACGACGGGAAGACCUACACCUACUUCUCGAGCAUCGCGAAGCUCUACGGCGGCGGCAGCGGGGCCGAGGGCGGCCGACGGCCGCCGUACGACUACGUCAUGAAGGCGGACGACGACCUAUUCGUGCGGCUCCUGACGCUGAUCGAGUCGCUGCGGCCGAUGCCGCGGGACGACAUGUACUACGGCGCCGUGAUCCCCUGCGAUAGCAUGGACCCGUUCCGAGACUACAUGUCGGGGAUGGGGUACAUCCUGUCGUGGGACCUGGUGGAGUGGAUCGGGUCAUCGGAGGCGGUGCGGAACAAGUCGGCGGGCGUCGAGGACAUGCUCACCGGAGAGUGGCUGCGCACGGCGGGGAAGGGGAAGAACCGGUUCAACGCGAAGCCGGCCAUGUACGACUUCCCUAUACCAGUGCCGAUCGACGCGUGCUCGCACGGCUUCGUCCCCGACACCGUCGCCGUCCACCGGCUCAAGGACAACCCCAAAUGGGCCACCACCUUGAAGUACUUCAACUUCACCCAGGGUUUGAAACCAUCCAAGUUUUAUCGUAUAGAUUAAUUGAACGUUUUUUUCUCUUAAUUUCUAAGGAGUUUGUAGUUUGUAACUUGUAUACGUACGUUACUUGGACAGAUAAUGUGGACACACAAUGCUAGCGCCACUUUGUUGAGUAGCUUCUAAAAUUUAAUUUUAAUUUAAGAAUUUUUUAUUUAAAUUUUAAUACUGUAUUAAUUAAACAGUGAAUUUAGAUAGAGUCCAGUGAAGGGGAAAAAAAAAACAAAAAAGAGUUCGCAUAUGGCGUAUAUAUCAAAUGUUUCAAACAAAAUAUGAAGGAGCUCCUCAAUGAAGUCACUCAUAAAAUGCAUAAAUUAUACUUCAAUUUAUUUAUUCAUAAACAUUGACCUUGCUUAACUCCUAUAUAAUAAAUAAUAUGAUAAGACGAGAGGUCGUUAAUAUAGAAAGAGGUUUUAAAAACUCAGAGGCCUCAAUAGAUCUGUUUAAAUGCAAUUAUAUUUCAUUUUGGAGCAGUCCCUUAUGUCAGAUAUUAAUCAUGAAUAUAAAAAAAUAUGUAUUAGUCUAGACCGGGGAUACCUAUACUCUUAUAAGUAUGACCCUUUUAUAAUCAUAAAUUUUCGGCUAUUGGAUAAAGAGAUAUGCGAUUAGGAUAAUAAUGGUCUCAGUUAAGAUGAUUAUGUUCUCCUAGGAGCUGUUUGGCUCGGGUAUAAAAGAGGAAAUAAAGAGAAUAUUCCCUCUUUAUACCCAAAUAAAAAAAGAGGGGGGUGGGAAUUAUUGUUCCCAUCUUACCGGGGUAAGGUGGGAACAAUAGUUCCCACCCGGUUGGAAACAAGCUUGUUCCCACCCACGAGAGAGAGAGAUAUUGAUUCUGAUUUUAAAUUUAAAUUUUUAAAAUUUAUAAUUUAAAAUUAUAAAUUUUAAAAUUUAAAUUUUAAAUUUGAUAUUUUUAAAUUUAAAUUUUAAAUUUGAUAUUUUUAAUUUUUAAAUUUAAAAUUUGCUAUUAUAUUUUUUUGAAAUUUAAAUUUGGUCUUAAAUUUAAAAUAUGAUAUUUAAAAUUAUAAUUUUAAAUUUUAAUUUUAAAUUUUAAAAUUUAAAAGUUAAAAUUUUUAAUUUUCAAUUUAAAAUUAUAAGUUUAAAAUUUAAAAAUUUAAAUUUAAUUAUAGGGAUAAUAUUAUUAUUAUCUAUUUAUAACUGAUAACUAUUCCUCUUAUUCUCAAUAACCAUCUAAACGCAAUUUUUUUAGUUCCAACUUAUACUCAUAUUUACAUCCAAACAAAAAAAUAUUCUUGUUCUUAUAAAAAUUCAUAUUUGUAUCUAUUCCUGGUAUAACUAGUUCCUACUAAUUCCGGAACCAAAUCUCUUUAUACUUAAGUUUUCGACCGUUAGAUCUAUGUUUUUGAACAAUUUCACCUGUUAGAUUAUACUAUUCAACCAACCAUUCAUUCAACCCUAGAUAAGAGUAUAGUAGCCGGACUCAUUAAUCUAAUUAACUAGUUAGGGAGGUAAUUAUUAUUAUCUUUAGACUAAAAAUUUUCAACAUAAAAUUAAUUGUACUUCUUGUAUCUUAUUUUCAGUGGUUUAAAAAGAUUUAAACUGAACCGACUGAAUAAUCUCGCUACAGUGAUGCUUUAAAUCCGGUUCGGCUCGGUUUAAUAAAAAAAAAAUAUACGAAAAAUCGCACCGAACCGGCCUAUGUUAACGGGCCGGGCUCAGCCCCGAACUCUAAACCUCCGAGCCCAACUCAGGCCCGGGCUUAAAUCCUUUUGCUCCCUCUCCCCGACCCCACCUUCUCCCUCUUCUCGCCGGCGCCGGCGACGCGGUGCCACCGCGACGGCGGCGGCGCCGCCGUGCUCCGCCGCCUCGGUAUCUUCCUCGGCCUCUCCUUUCAUUCGUCGGAGUUCCUCCCAUUAACAAUGUAUGGAUGGAAACGAAACCCUAACGAUCUCAAUCGCUUACACUGGUGCAUUUUGAUCCCUUUUUUGUGAACUGUUCCUUUGAUUUGAUAUCUCUGCUGAGUAGCAAUAGUUGAUGAAUUAUCGAGUGAAUUGUGCAGAUUAAUCGAUCCUCAUUUGAUAAUGAGUUCUUCAGAUUGGGAUAGUUUAGGAAAAUAUGUGCAAAAUGAUGUAUUUUACAUUGUUCUAGAUUAGGUUGAUACCUUAACAAUAUUAAACAUACCAAAUUUGUUCUUGAAUCUUAGGGUAUGCUCAUACCAAGUAGGGUUUAAUCCUGCGUCUAGCUUGAGAAUGAUUCAACUGUAGAUAAGUAAACUAGAAUACAGAUCAAGCUCAAAUUCUGUUUAAUUUUAGCCUGAGUAUAUGGUUCAUUGCUUAAUUCAAGCAAAUAUAACUCUUGUGAUGUCGUGUUUAGACUUGCACUGGCAUAUAUUUUUGCCCUUUGAUCUAUGUCAUGAAUAUGUUUUGGUGAUAUAGAUUUGAGUUUGAUCCAGUUAGAGUUUGUCUCAAGUUGCAGCUCGGAACAAAUCUCAAUCAUAAAUAGAAAGAUUGGGACUGGUUGUUUGUUUUUGAACCCGGGAUUUAGCCGGCACAAGUCAUUCAUGAUUCACUUGAACUGUUUGGCAUAUGCAGGAACUGGACAUAGAAAUUUAGAUGUUUCUUAAGUAGUCUUUCAUUACUAUUAUUUAUUUAUUUGUUAUUAUUUGAGACUUGAGUAAUUAUUUAGAUACUUGAAAUUUAGGAUCAUAUAAUGAACUUUAGGAUCACUGAUAACUACAUUACUGGGCUUGGCUUCAAAGAGAAAACUACGAUAACUUAUCGUCCACCGGUGUCUCUCGAACAAUCAACAAAGCCACUGACUCAGACUCCUCUCUUCCUGCUUGGAAAUUGGGGUCUUUCGGAGAUACAAUUAAGUCAUUAUCUUGCAACCCUCUAUUAGAAACCAAUAUAAUCAAAUUUUUUAUUUUUUAAGAUGUUUAUAGAUCACACAUACACACUCUUUUUCACAUGUGUAUAAUUCGAAUUCUAGAUCUACAUAUGAGAAAGCGGAUACAUAUCACCUACUCUAAAAUGUGGCUUUUUGUAUUAUAUUAGUCAUUAGAGGAGAGUCUCUACCUUGCUGGAACUAGUCCAACAACAUUAGUGUUACAAGAGUACUGUUUGAUUGGAUAUGCAUUUGUGGGCAUUCAAGUGUGUCACUGUGUAUGUCUUGCGUGCUUAUCACUCUGCUUGUACUCCCUACAACAUGCUCUCCAGUUCAGCUACAAGGACCAAAACAAAGGCGCCUCCAUUUUCAACCCACUUGCAUUGAGAUUGGUGCUGCACGGGGCAGGCUGUGUCUGUGUUUGUUUGAAGUUGGUACUAUCCGAUUAGAUUGAUUGAAGCUUUAUGGCGAACUCUAAUAAGGUGAAGUUGAUUAGUCAAUUUUCGCCUCCUGCGUAUAAUAGUAGCUAGUUCGACAACCUUUUAGGCUUCAAGUUCAUCUCGAAUGCUAUGUCUAAUUUGAAUCUAACAAUUCAAUUGCGCCUGAUUUACAAUUUAAGUAAUGAACUUGAUAUAAUGCUUCACGGAAUAGAAGGUCUCUUAGCUUUUCUUCUUAUAUAUGUUUACGAGUUAGUAUUUGAAACACUCGGUAGUUGUGAUUUAAAAUUCUCUAACAUGUACACCGCUAAUUCAUCAGUAACAUUUCGAGAAAGUUUAAGAAAAUGUAGUGGUAUUUGUGACGAUAUUUAUGUUCAAAUUUUGACUUAUAAGUUCUACUUUGAAUAUAUUUUUGUUAUAUUAGUACCAGCAUUGAAACCCUAUGCCUCAUCCCAUGUGCUAGGGAACACUACUAACCUAUCCAGGUGGGGCAUUGGGCACUAGGCAAUCCAGUACAGGGUGGAGAAAGAACCAAAAGAUAAGAUUAAGAAAGAGAGUGGGGGGAAGAGUGAGGGAAUAUAUGCCUUCGAUCUCAGUAGCACCAGGUCCACAUGUGAGAGUCCUUUUAUAUUUUAUUCAUUUAUUGAUCACUGUAGUUGUUUUAGAAACCUUAUGAACCUUUGGAUUCUACUGCCCCAUCAGACCUUUUCACCCUCUGCUCCCUCUGAUUCGAUUCUCUGUAUAGAGACCAAUUAAAUACGGGCUCUAUAGUACGUUACACUCUAGAGAAAAUGUUAUAUAUGUUCUUUGUUUAAUCCAUCCUAUGACCUCGUUGGAUUGAUCUCUUUUGAGUAGUUAAAUACAUGGUCCAAUAGGUGGCAAGAGAUUGUAUAAAAUUUUGUAAUAAGGGAAUAGGGGAUAGGGAUUUGCAUCACUAAUCGAGGGGGUUUAGACCAAUUAUGAGCCUCUUGUUUGCUGCUUCUUUGUUUCUGCAGGUUCUCCAAGGAUGUUGGGAAGUGGGUCAAAGCUGGUUCUUUGCUGAAAUUAAUGGUUGUGGAGGUUUCUCCAAUGCUUCAGUUUUUUUUUUUUUUUUUUUUUUACCCAGGAGAUCGAGAUCAUUUGGCAACAUAGUAUUACUAUUGCAGAUUUAAUCUAUUUUAGAGUAAACUUUUAUUAGAAUUUAAUUUAUAAAAUGUUAGAGGUGAGGAUUGAGUUCACCAUGAUGCGGAAGUGGAGGAGUUUAAAUUUCAUUCUAGGGUUAAUUUCUUCAAUGCACUCCUCAAAAGUGAUAAUUUCAUGAAUAUCCCUUCAAAGGGUAAAAUAUUAUUGGUGCUCUUUUAUAUAUAAAGGAAAAACUUCAAAAACGCCUCAUGUGGUUUUGUACUUUUUUAUUGUAAUACCCUGUGAUUUAAAGUGUAUUAAGUUAGUAACCUGUGGUUUCUCACUUUAUCACUUUAGUACCCUGUGGUUUAAAGUGUAUCAAAUUAGUACUUUAUGAUUUAUUUUUGUAUCAACUUAGUACCCUGUGGUUUUAUUUUUGUAUCAAGUUAGUAUCCCGUGGUUUAAAAACCACAGGGUACUAAAAUAAUAAAGUGCGAAACCACAUGAUACUAAAGUGAUAAAGUGCGAAACCAUAUGGUAUUAACUUGAUACACUUUAAACCACAGGGUACUAAAGUGAUAAAGUGCAAAACCACAUAGUACUAACUUGAUACAUUUUAAACCACAGGGUACUAAAGUGAGAAAAAGUGAAACCACAAUGGGGGUAUUUGAAGUUUUCCCAUAUAUAAAAGAGUUUAGGGUUUAGAGGAAGGGCCUAGGGUUUAGUGGAGUAUUUGUGAUAGAUUUAUAUAUUUAGAAGAGUAUUUAUAAUAGAUUUAUGUGUUUAGAGGAGUAUCAAUGAUUUAGAUUUUGAAACAGCAUUUAUAAUAUUUUUUGGAGUUUUAGAGAGCUAUGUUUGAAACUGUCUCUUCAUUCUAAUAAUAUAAUAUAUCAAGUCACUCAAAAGUACAAUCUUUUUUGUAACAAUUUUGCAUGUUGCUAUGAUAGAUUGCUUAUAAAUUGAUAAAUAUAUGUGGCAUCUUUGAAGCAUUUAUAUAAGUAAUCGAAAGCCUCUACAGGAUUUGUAGAGACAUAUUAAUAAUCUGUAAGGAUAAUAUUUUAGAGUACAUAAGCAAACUAAUAGUUUAUCUGCCUCUGAGGAGUAGAAGAGGGUCAAAUGCAUGGUCGAAUGUAGUUCUUUUUAACAGGAUAUGAAUAAAUUGUUUUGUGAUAUGUGCAAGUUAAUUAUACAACUUCAAAUUUUAUUCAUGUGAACUUUUGUAUAAAUGGGCAUACAGUAAGUAUUACUCAACCUAAACACAAGUGCCCUUUUCUCUCUCUCUCUCUCUCUCUCUCUCUCUCUCUCUCUCUCUCUCAAUGCCUGUGCCAAUAUAUUGUAUUAGAAUUUUUCUUGGGUUAACCACAUAUAUAUCCUUGUUUUAAUAGGUCUUAAAUUUCUCAACCACCCUUCUUUUAGUCCCAGAAGCCACUUCUCUUUCACCCUCUCUCUCUCUCUCUCUCUCUCUCUCUCUCUCUAGGUUCCUUGUAGACCAAGGCUUGCUUGUAUUGUUUGGCUAUGAUGAUCUCAGCACAUCAGAUUGAUUUGAAAGGCCCAAGUUGCUAACAGCUAAGAUCAUUAUUCAUAUGAACUUGGUGAAUUAUGAUGAACCUGAAAAGAGUAAAAUGGAUUGGAGAUUUCCACAACACAAAAGUGGGCUUCUCCAUAUUAUAGUCAUAUUACUAUAAACUGCUUAGUUUUAGAGUAUCUUUCGUCUUGUGGCAGAGAUCUUAGCCUUCUCAGCUGAAUCUAUGGGGUCCCAUUUGUGCAAUGUGGUUUUUUAGACCAAAUUCUCUGUGGUGCUCUGUUUCCAAACAUAAUGACAACAUAUGAGGAAUUUGCUUUUAAUGAAUACAAUUAAUAAUUAACAACUCUUCAUUAUUUUACAUUCAUAUCCUUAUUCCUGCAAAGUAAUCUACUAAAAUGAGGGGUAAAAUUAGAGAGUAAUAUGUCAGUAGAUAAUUGGAGUAAUAGAGUAUGUUAGAGAAGGAAAGGACUGGGGGAAGUUUUUGGAAAGUGCAUUAAUGUUGGGGAUUUACACAUAAUCUCUUGCAAAUCUUUGAGUAUUAAUUGUUUCCAAAACCCUCCGUAUAAGAUAAGACCCACUAUAAAAUGUUGGGAGGGAGAAAGAUUUAAACAUGAUCUCUAGUAGAUCUUUGUGUAUCAAUUGUUUCCAAGGCCAAAUUGCAUGUAUAAAAAUCUCUCCGAUAUCUAUCUACAUGUCAGGUAAAAAUCAUGCACCAGGUGUGUACCAUGUAGGCCAUGCACGACCCAACGUAUUUCAUAUGCGCCAAUCCACGUUGGAUGAUGUGUUUUAGUCAUUUUCUUGCUUUAGAAUUACUUUUAAUUAAUUUUAAGAUUGAGUUGAAAGUAUAAAAGCUUUUUUUAUUUUACUUUUGUUUCUAUUUCCAACAAUUGUUACCUUAUUAUAAUGUUUGGUAGUCAAUAAAAGUCACAUAAAUCUUACUAUACUUGAAAACAAAAAAUUAGAGCUUUCUUUUUUCUUUUUUUUUUUUUUUUUGCGCAUAAGAGUUGUCGCAAUGUUUCUUCUAAUAAUUUUGUUUUGUUAAGCGUGAUGCACCAAGUGCAUCAAAUGAUGCUUGGAAGGAGAGUAGGGAGGGUUAGGACAAAGAACGAUUUUUCUCCUCCCUUUUUUUUUNUUUUGACAAAGAAUCCACAAGGGCGUGUAGGAAACUGGGAGGCGCUUCAAGGCUCAAGCUACAGGGUACAGCACCUGCUCUGCAUGCUUCUAUAUAUAUAUAUAUAUAUAUAUAUAUAUAUAUAUAUAUAUAUAGAUAUUCCCCUGCCUCCUUUCAUUGUCUCUAACGUUUCUUCUUUGCAGUCCCCACAUGCAUACAUCCCCAUCGCCACCCUCUACAUCUUAAUUUCUUAAACCCCCCUCCAUUUUUCUACAAACCAAAGUUUUUUUUUUUUGAAAAAAGUAAGAAUCACAUCCUUAUUUACCUACAGGUAUGCCAUCUUACUAAAUCUUUUCUGUCUCUCUCUUCUUUUUUUUUGUUUUUCAAAAAGACAGAUUCGAGAGUAACCCUAAACAGAGAGAGGCCCGCUAUAAAUACCCUCCCCACCUUCUUGUAGGGAGCAUAACAUGCAAUAGAAAACAGAGUCUUUCUUUCUUUCUCUUUUUCCACUACUCUGUUUUUUCAGUUAAAAACAGAGUUUUCUUUUUCUCUCGGCUUCUUUUGCGAUACUUCCUCCUGUUUACAGCAGCAGGAUGAAGGAGUAUUGGUGGACUUCGUUGGCGUCCCUGCUGGGCGCCCUGGCCUUCGUGCAGAGCCUCCUCCACGCCGUCUUCCCCGCGGAGCUGCGCGUCGCCUUCGCCACGCUCCUCCGCCGCCUCUCCGGCGCCUUCUCCCCCUACUGCUACUUCGAAAUCCCCGAGAUCGACGGCGUCAACACCAACGAAUUAUACAAUGCCGUGCACCUCUACCUGAGCCGCGCCGCCGCCGCCUGUGCCGCGGGCUGAACUCGUCGGCGCUGACGUUCGGGCUGUCGAGCAGCGACCGCGUGGCGGACGCGUUCCGCGGCGCGGGGGCGGCGUGGGAGCACGUGGCGACCCCGCGCGCGGCGGCGGGGUUCUCGUGGCGCCCCUUCCCGGAGGAGCGGCGCGCCUUCACGCUCCGCAUCCGGCGCCGCGACGCGCCGCUGCUCGUCCCCUCCUACCUCGACCACAUCAUGGACAGCGCCGCCGACAUCCGGCGCCGGAGCCAGGAGCGCCUCCUCUACACCAACGCCCGCGGCGGCGCCGGCGCCGUCGUGGUCGGCGCCGUGGACGCGGCCCACCGCGGCGGGCACCCCUGGGAGCCGGUCCCCUUCAAGCACCCGAGCACCUUCGACACCCUCGCCCUCGACCCCCGCCGCAAGGCCGAGAUCAUGGCCGACCUCCGCGACUUCGCCGAGGGCCGCGACUUCUACAGCAAGACCGGGCGCGCCUGGAAGCGCGGGUACCUCCUCUACGGCCCCCCCGGCACCGGCAAGUCCAGCAUGAUCGCCGCCAUGGCCAAUUUCCUCCGCUACGACGUCUACGACCUCGAGCUCGCUGAGGUCCACACCAACUCCGAGCUCCGCAAGCUCCUCAUGAAGACCACCUCCAAGUCCAUCAUCGUCAUCGAGGACAUCGACUGCUCCGUCAACCUCGCCAACCGCGGGACGGCCAAGCGCCCGCCGGCCGCCGCCGACCCCGCGGCCGACAUGAUCGGCGGGGACGACGCGCGGACGGUGACGCUGUCGGGGCUGCUGAACUUCACCGACGGCCUCUGGUCGUGCUGCGGGAGCGAGCGGAUCUUCGUGUUCACCACCAACCACGUCGAGAAGCUCGACCCCGCGCUGCUGCGGUCGGGGAGGAUGGACGUGCACGUGUUCAUGAGCUACUGCACCUUCCCGGCCCUGCGAAUUCUCAUGAAGAAUUACUUGGGGAUCGACGACGCGGGCGCGGGCGAAGAGAAGGAUGGGCUGUGGAGGGAAUUGGAGGAGGCGGUCGGCGAGGCGGAGAUGACGCCGGCCGACGUGAGCGAGGUGCUGAUCAAGGGUCGACGAAUGUGGGGGUGCGGCGGAGUUGAGGAAGAAGAGGAUGAUGGAAGGGACCGAGGAGGAAGAGGAAGAGGAGGAGGAGGAGGAGCAGGAGAAGCGGGCAUUGGAGAGCCCGAAGGAAGGAGGAGGAGGAGGAGGAGGAGGAGGAGCCAUGGGUGAUGAAGCUAAUGAAAAGGAGGAGAAGGGUGGGGAGUAAACUGUUGAGAGGGUUGGGACUUGGGAGGGAACUUUAGGAGCUUUGAAUUUUUCUUUUUCUUUUUCUUUUUCUUUUUCUUUUUUUUCCUUUGCUUGAGUUUGUUGUCCUUCUCUCUUUCUCUGAAAGAAGAUUAAAAAAAAAAAAAAGGAAAAAAGAAAAAUAUGCGCAAGGGUCCUCUGGUGUUUCUUUCGCAUUUGUUGAGUGUCCCGAGUUAUACAUCUUGUUGUUGAUCUGGGUCAUACAUACGCUGCACUGUUGUUCCCUGGUUCUUUAGAGGAGGUUUUUAUUAGUGUCUGUUUGGUUCGGCAUUUCGCGCAUUGCAACUCUUGCCGCAAAUUGUAUCUGUUGCAGCUCACUCCGCUUCGCACCGCUGGGCUAAACAGAGUCUUAGUUUUAUUCGAUCUCGAUUACUUACAUAACAUAUCUACAUAAUUGGCAUAUAAUGAAUUGACAAAAUGGCUACUUUGCGCGCACUCUCUACUCACAAAAAUAUCCUUGGUGCAAUUUACACUCUUGAUUUGCAAACACUAUCAUCUUCAGAUGGUGUGAAAUUCGCAGAUAAGAGGUCUAAAUCAUACGAAAGUGUUUUAUUCAUUCUUAUGGUUAUGCAAUAUUAUGUGAUCUUAAUUAGCUUAUACAAAGAGAGAGAAUGUAAAGUUUGAUAGGAGACACUAAUAGAAAAGGUAAAAAUAGAAAAUAAGAUAGAAAUUUAUGUCAUAAAAUGAAGAAUUCGAAAAUUUAAAUCUAGAAACUCUUGGAGCAGAGAGAGUUUUGAACUGACUUUGGCCAUUCUACAUAGUCUAUGAAUAAGAUCAAUCUGAUAGUUCUUUGAUCUCCAAUCGGAUUAACGCGUUUGUAAUUUGGAUUAAAGCGUAUGAAAUCGCUAAUUAGUCUUAAAAAAUGGCCCCUGUGAGUACUUUUAGGUAUGUGAAAAAUUUGUUCCUUUCAAGCUUAACUAUGCGAGGAUAUAUAGCAUAGGGAAAAGGCCUAGAGAUCGAUCCAUCUUAUUUUUCCACAAAAGGUGACACGUUACCUGGGGGGAUUAUUGAUCAAUGUCUCACCCCAUAUUGCAAAAGAAUCACUAAUCUUUUUUAAGUCGAAAGUUGAUGUGUCCUAUGCAUUUAUUAACCUCACACUAAGAUUGGUCAAAGAUGUGAAUGUUGGUUAAGAUUCUUCUGUUUGAAGUUUAUUUAGCCCAGUAUUUUAUAGUUUGUUGCCAAGGAUGUUUUUUGCAGCUUUUUUGUGUUUUAUUAAUGGAGAGUGUCAAUGGUUGGUGUAUCUGGUUCUUUUCAUUUUUAGUACAUGCAUGAAGAUCCCUAAAAUAAAUAAAUAAAUAAAUAAAUAAUUCUCUUUCCAUUUUUUGGUGGAUUUGAAAUUUGGUUUGUGGUAACUGCACUAAUUUUUAUCCUCUACACCCUCUUUGGCUGGGGAACACAAGGGGGGAUAAGGAUAAGGGGUUAUCCCCCACUUGUUCCCCAACCACCCCUAAUUUUAUUUUUAAAAUUUAAAAUUUAAAAAAUUAAAUUAGAAUUUCAAAUUUUUAAAAUUUAUAAUUUGUAAUCACAAAAUUAAAGUUUAUAACUCCAAAUUCUAAAUUUUAAAUUUUACAUUUGAUAUUUUAAAUUUUUCAAAUUUAAAUUUGAUCUUAAAUUUAUAAUUUGAGAUUUAAAAUUUUAAAUUUUAAAAUUUUUAAUUUUCAAUUUUAAAUUUUAAAUUUAGUUUUUAGAUUGUGAAAUUUAAAAGUCAAAAUUUUAAAAUUUUAAAAUAUAAAUAUAAAAUUUAAAAAUUCAAAUUAAAAUAUAAUGAUAGCGGCAAUAUCAUUAUUUUCUAUGUAUAACUACCCACUAUUUUUCUUAUUUCAUCUUAUACUUCCAACUGCUAUUUUUUCUUAAUCCUAAGAACAACCUAAUUUUCGUUAAAAUAUAAAAUUGGUUUAGUUCUUGCUUAUAGCUGAACUUGUAUCAAUCCCUGUAAUAUACAGUUCUUACUUAUACCCGAACCAAACGAAGCCUUAAUAAUAUGCUUAACUCGUAGGGGCGAGUGGUCCAAUUUUUAAACCAUAAACAUCUUUUUCGCUUUUGCAUAUAAUAAAGGUUAAAACAAACAUAAUUUAUUUAAAUUAUGAACCAUCUUGAGUCGACCACCUAACCUUUCAAGAUUUUGAUUCCAUUAACUAACCUUUUAACAAAUUAAAUUUGAAUCAAUUUUUACUGCAUUUUGACUUCACAAUUGAAUGCGUCGUUUAUCUUUACAAUUUUAGCUAAUAUAUUUCAAACAAUUUUUAAACCAUAAAUUUAUUAAAUUAAAUAGAUUAAAAUAUUGAAUAAUAAAUUAAAAUUUCGAAACAUGGGAUAAUUAACUCAAAAUAAUCUAUAUAUUUUGUGACAUUGAGAGUUUGGUGAGCAUACUUAGUAUGAUAUUUACACAAAUGUGGAGCAAUGAUUGGUUUCGUAGACGACGGUUGUGGGUGGGAGUUAAAGGAGGAUUGCGGAAGGCUGCAGGUUCCCAGCCACCAGCAAAAGUGGGGCGGACAGCUUAGAUAUGGUUUUGAUGGUUUCAAAGGACUGAUUGAUGAUGGAAUAUAAUUUUUCUGAUCAGGCAGAGCCAGACUCUGCAGAAUCCCUGCUAAACCAAGACAAACUGGUCCUUGAUACUUUAUUCUCUCUCUCUCUUUCUCAUACACACACCAUGACAAGUGAUUCGAAAUAACAACACGUCGCGCAGAUCGCACUUAUUUGGACCGGAAGAUCGAUCUUUUUAGCUUCUGGCUCGGGUAUGAUAUUACAAAAAUAGUACGGUGCGCACUACAACAGAAUUAGGUUAUAGAGAUACAUGUUUGGGACACUUUUAAGUAAGUGUCCCAUUUAUGCUAAAACUUGAAAAAACAUCUAUUUAUGCCUAAAUAUAAAGUUCAAUCCAAUCAGAAAUAAAAGAUUACUCUACUCAACCCACCACACCCAGUCCAUUGUACCCGAUUACAAACAGAAAAGAAAAAAAAGAAAAAUCAAUUACCAUCUUUUCUUCUCUCUUCACUCAAUCCACUGAAAUUCUAGACGAAGAGCUUUUCCUGUCGUCCUCCUCCGCCACCGCAGCCAACGAGAUAAAGUUUCGGCGGUUGCUAAAUACUUAAAUAAGUGUUGGUAAAUUAGCAGCACUCUUUUAGAUUAUAGCGACACACUUUAACUGUUACUAUAUACCUAGCGACCCCACAUAUAGCAACACUUUUUAAAAGUGUCAGUAAUUUUAGCUAGCAGCACUUUUUUGACAUAUACCUAUAUUUAAAAGUGUCGCUAUAGACCGCUUUUGUUGUAGUGGCGUUGCAUCUGAAUGUGCAAUAAUGAGAGUAGUUCUAUUUGCUUUUGUUUGUGAUCGCACAGCGGUGAAAUAUCAUGAGUUUUACAGUUCUUCUGAUAAAAGCUAAAUUUAUCCAUUUCCAUCUUAAGUACUUUUGCUUAUCCAAUAUUAUUAGAUCAUUUUGAUACCAAACGGUCCCGAGUUUCAUUUUAGCCUUCGAAUUUUUAAUAAGCGUGUUAGUUGUACUCAGAAUAACUAUGCGGACAAAUAUGUUAGUUGUACUCGAAAUUUUGAAUCUUAAAGAAAAAAUUUGUUAGCUGUAUUCACUAUAAUGAGCCUUUUCAUGAGGAAAAAAAAAAAAAAAAAAAAACAGAGAGAAAAAAAAUAUGCAUGGAUAUGCAGAUGAAUAUUUCUGGGUACGGACGAAAGUGAAAUACUUUAAAAAAUUUAAGAUAUUUAGUUGUAAAAUUAUAAUGGACAAAAAGUUAGGAUCUAACAAGCAAAUUUUACCUUGCUGGAAAAAUAGCUAGUACGUUCAGCAGCCUCUUUUUUUUUUUUUUUUCUUUUUUUUUUGAGAGAUAGAUAGCACAUUACCCGCUUCGUUUAUUUCAUUUAGAAUUUAGAAAUAAACUUAGCUGGAUAUGUGAAUCAACUAGGAUUCAAACUUGAGACCUCGGAUACCAAUCGUUAAAUUUUUUGCCACUUGCUCCAGGGACAGUCAGUCAGCAGCCAAAUUAUUAGACUGACAAAACGGCUACUGCUUCUCUGAACAGCAAAUUAAUCACACACCACCGUCUCUCAAAGUGGACACCCAUCACAAUGAUUCAAGUGAAACCUAUCAUUUCCCUUUUCACAAAGCUUUUGAUUAAGAGGUUGAGCGGAUCUUGAGCUGUAAUCAAUUUGCCCCCCAGGCCCAUAUCCAGCCUGUUAGUGUAGGGGCCCAAUUUUCUCACCCAAAAAGCGCGGCUUUGACGAGAAGCGCCUCUCAACUAGAUCUCAUUGAGACAGUCCGGCGAGCCGUAUGAUACAGUGCAUAUUUUUUGCGUAAAUAAUAGAAUUAAAAUUCCACAUUUUAAUCGAUCGUUCCUAAAGCAAGUGGCAAAGGACUUGAUGGUUGGUACUCGAGACUCAAGUUCGAAUCCUAAUUGAUUCCCAUUUCUUACUAAGUUUAUUGCUAAAUGACAUAAAACGAUGCGGGUAGCGUGCUACCUAUCUCUCAAAAAAAAAAAAAAACUAGCGCAAGUUGCAAAGGGCUUAGUGAUUGGUAUCCAAGGUCCCCAAGUUCGAAUCUUAGUUAAUUCACAUUUUUAGCUAAGUUUAUUUUUAAAUGAAAUAAAUGAAGCAGGUAGUCUUUUACCUAUCUCUCUCAAAAAAAAAAAAAAAUUCCACAUUUAAGAAUGAGACGCUUCUCAUUCGAGUUUUUUUUUUUUCUUCCCUCCUGAACAGGGGCCAAACAAAAGCAAGCAAAACGGAGAAAAUACUAAUCAUUUGGUUCUAUAUAUCCUAUUUAUUACGACGCGACUAUAAGCCCAGCAUGUCCGUGUCGGACACGUGCUUGUCCGUAUAGAACUCGUGUCUGAUGCGGGCGCCCCAUAAUUAAGCACGUGUUCAUAUAUGGUGCAUCCCAUUAAUUUUUUUUAAAUUUAUUUUGUUAUCCGUAUAUAAUAUAAGAUGAUACAUAUUUUGAUUUUGUGAUGAAUGCAUAUAAAUUUUUUUUAGACAAUAUAAAAAAUUAUAUAAAGUGGGGAAUUUUUUUUCUUAAAAUAUACGAGAAAUAUAGCAAUAUUUUACAAAAUUAACAUUUUAUAUAUAACAAAUAUAUAUUAUUGAGUUGGGCUAGAAUAUUGAUAGCAAAAGGCCUUUUUUGCUAUCAAAUUUUUAACCUUUAGAUCAAUUAUUUUCAUCAUUUAUAAUUAUUGGAUUAAAUAUUAUAGCACAGUGGGGACCACUCAAUUCUAGGAGGGUCACUCAACUCUAAGGGACUAAUAUCAUUCUAAUUCUAUAAUUUUUCAUCCAAAGAUUAAAAAUUUGAUAGUAAAAAGGAUCUUUUGCUAUCAACAGUAUACCAGCCUAGCUCAUAUAUUAUUAUAUUAAUAAUAUUAUACUUUAUUAGUGGUGUUUAAAUCAUGUAUAUGUUUUAAUUUUUGAAACUAUUGAGUCACCGUAUCAGAAUCGUGUUACAUUCUGUAUCUCGUGCUUGCCUCCAUAAAGCCUAGAUUCUAUCCCUUUGGACCAUAUCUAUUCAUGGCCAAUGUCAUGAUUCCUCUUUGUUUGUUAUGUCACUUUUUUGUUUUGUUCAAAUUGUUUAUGGAUUACUCAUGCUGUCAAGCAGAGGAUCCAACGUUUGUUACAUUCAUUAUUAGAGGAUUAUGCAACAAAGAAUGUGAAGUGCACCAAAGUUUUUUACACUAAAAUUUUCACCCAGUUAACUUUGCGUUACCAUAAAAGAGGGUAUUUGUUACACGGAUCGGAUCCAUUGGUAACCAAAAUCCGGGACCGAUAAACCAGGUACCCCUACUCUAGUUGUAAUAUAUAUAUAUAGAGUUGAGGUAGAAUACUAUCAGUAUUAAGCGAGCCAUUUUACUACCGAUUUGUUUUUGAUGAUAGAGCUUCCAAAUUGACGAUCGGCUUCGUUAAAUAUGAUCUAAACCAUUUAAACUACCUAGAAAUCAAAUUUCAUGCACUUUCGAUAUUGUUCUUUUAUUCAUCAAGUGAACAAAAAAAUGAGUGGCUGAAAAUGAAUACUCUUUAAAAAAUGAUGGUAGGAGUCUUGUAAUCAAGAUCAAGAGUAUAGAUCUUGUUUUAAAUAGUUUAAAGAAUUUUUUUAACAAAAAUUCAAUUGAUUUGGAUAUCUUUACGCCGUUAAACGAGAAAACGCUUCUUAUCGACCAUUAAAAUUACAAAUUUUGAAACUCUUUGAUCAUUAUUGCAAACAAUGUAAGUAAUAAUCUCCUAAUACGUUGUUUCUUACACUUCACGUGGUUUCAAAAAAUGUGAUUUUAAAAGUGGGUCAAUUGAAACGCAAUGGUAUUUUCUCCCAUAAACAAUGUGCCUAGCCUAGGUAACCAUUGGUUUUAGGCCCUGGCUAUUUGGUCCAUGGGGAUGAGAUCAACAUUAUAUAUAUAUAUAUAUCUCAACUCCAUCUUAUGAUAGUCAUAAUUCGCUCGGUAAAAUGAUGGCUAAACAAAAACUACUAUCUCGAAGGUUUAACUGCUAGCCGAAGCAAUUUAUACUAGAUUUGGUAAAUUUGAUGGAUCUUUAGUUUAAAGUACGUGAAAGCUAUAACAAGAAAAUAAGUAGUUCACUUGUUUUUUUACUCACCGACUUUUACUUAUGAGAAAUUUUUUACUACCAUCCUCAGAACAUUAGUUCUAGUUCUCAUAUCUAGAACAAAAUUUAUCAAAUUUCUUAAAAGAUUGUUUUUAAGUUAACUAAACCUAUAGAAAUGCGGCAAUUUGCUCUUUUGCGGAGAAUAGCUGGUAAUUUUAAUGUUUAAAACUUUGGGAAACUAGUAAUCCGUUUACUACAGCUUUUCUAAAUUUUAAACUAAAGAUUUGUGAAGUUCACCAUAUCUAGUACAAGUUGCCUCGGCUAGCAGUAAACCUUCAAGAUAGUAGCUUUUGUUUAGCCAUCAUUUUGCCGAGCAAAUGAUGGCUAUCGUAAGAUCGAGUUGAGAUAUAUAUAUAUAUAUAUAUAUAUAUAUAUAUAUAUAUCUCAGGCCGAUGAUAGGAUAAUUAUCCUAACCCUGGGAACAGGAUAGUUCAGCUAGACUAAUUAGCCUUGAAGUUUAACUAUUAGCCGUGGCAACUUUAACUAGAUGUUUUAAUCUUUACAAAUCUUUGGUUUAAAACAUUUUAAAUUUUUGGUAAUAGUUCAAGUAGAAUUCUCAACUUUUUACUUGCCAGUAUUUACUUAUUGGAAGAAUUUUAUCUCCAAUCUGAAAGAGUUAAGUAUUAGUCUCAAUAGUUUGUAAUAGAUUUAUCAUAUUUUUUAAAAGAUAGUUUUUAAGUUCGUUAAACCUAAUGAGAUGUGGCAAUUUGUUCGUUUACCGAGUAUAUCCGGCAGUUUUUAACAGCUAAAAUGCUGUGAAACUAGUGGUACAUUUAUUAAAAAUCUUAAAUACUUUAAAUCAAAGAUCUACAAAGUUUAUGAGAUCUAGUUGAAGUUGCCGAGGCUAGUAGCUAAGCCUUAGAGUUAGUAGUUUUUGUUAAACUAUCCUGUUCACGAGGAUAGGAUAAUUAUCCUAUCAUCGGGAUCGGAUAUAUAUAUCUCUCUCUCUCUCUCUCUCUCUCUCUCGGGCCGAUGAUACGAUAAUUAUCGUGCUUCGUGAACCACGAUGGUUCAAAAGGCAGCAAUCUAGGUGGGAAGACUAGUAAAAGUGGACAAUCUAGUAUGAUAAGUUGGUUGGUGGGUGAGUUGGGAUCCCCCGGUUGUAGUAGGAUUGGUGUGUAGAGAAUUAGGUUACCGGUUUUUGAACCAUCGUGGUUACUGAACCACGAUAAUUAUCAUAUAAUCGGGUCAAGAUAUAUAUAUAUCUCUCAACUCGACCUUAUGAUAGCCAUCGUUUGCCCGAGGCAACGGUGGGUAAACAAAAGCUACUACCUCGAAAGUUUAGCUACUAGCCGUGGCAACUUAUACUAGAUAUAGUGAACUUCAUAAAUCUUUAAUUUUAAGUUUAGAAAAGCUGUAGUAAAUGGNUAUAUAUAUAUAUAUAUAGUUCGGCUACUAUACUCUUAUGAGUACGAUUACUUUUGUACUCAUAAGUUAUUUUCGAUGAUAGAGCUUCCGAAUCGAUGAUCCAUACUGUUAAACAUUAUCUAGAGUAUUCGAAACUUCUAAAAAUCAAAUUUUAUAAUUUUUCGAUAUCAUUUACCUUACGAUCAAAAGCUUACAAAAUUGACAAUUUUUAACGGCCGGUAUGAGAUAUUUGCUAGUUUAACGGUGUAAAAGAAUCAGAAUAGGUUGAAUUUUUGAUAGAAAAUUCUAUUCACUAUCUAAAUAAAGAUCAAUAACUCUGAUCUUAAAUUAAAGGAUCCGAUCAUCCAUUUUUAAUGUCGUUCGAUUUUGACCCCUCAUUUUAUUCCCGCUUGAUGGACUUUUUAAUAAUUUCGAAAAAUUACAAAAGUUAUUUUCUAAAAGUUUCAAAUACUCUAGAUCAUGUUUAACGGUGUGGAUCGUCGAUUCGAAAACCCAACAUCAAAAACAACUUAUGAGUACGAAGGGCUCUAUACUCAUAAGAGUAUAGUAGCCCUACUCUCUCUCUCUCUCUCUCUCUCUCUCUCUCUCUAUANGAGAGAGAGAGAGAGAGAGAGAGAGAGAGAGAGCGCUACUAUGCUAUCGGAAGCAUAGAGGAUCUGGUGCUUCAGAAUUUUUUGGCCCUUAAAUCAGCAUCUUUAAUCAUUUUUAAUUUUUAGAUUAAUACUAUUAUUCUGUAGGGACCACUCAAUUCUAGAGGUACUACUCAACCCUGAAAGAACCGCAAUCAUCUCAACCGUACAAUUCUUAAUUUAAGGGUUAAAAAAUCGAAAGCACCAGAUCCUCUAUACUUUCAAUAACAUAGUAGCUCUACACACACACACACACACACACACACAUAUAUAUAUAUAUAUAGAGAGAGAGAAAGAGAGAGAGUAGAUCUUGUGUGUUAUUAGGAGCACGAAGGCCUCUGUGCUCCUAAUAGCGGCCUCCGCGCUUCUAAUAGUACACAAGAUUCCAUGGUCCUAAGUCCUUUUCGAUGAUGGAGUUUUCGAAUCGACGAUCGGCUCCGUUAAACUUGAUGUAGCAUAUUUGAAGUAUAUAGAAAAUAAAUUUUGCGAUUUUUCGAUAUCAUUUACCUAUCGAUAGAAAGGGUUCAAAAUUAAUAAUUUUUAAUGGUUGAUAUAUAUUGUUUGCAAGUUUAACGGUGUAGAAAUAUUCAAAUCAGAUGAAAUUUUGAUAGAAAAUUCUUUACACUAUUUGCUGCAAGAUUAAUAUCUCUAAUAAAAAAUUUUAAUGCUAUAUCACUACUUUUUGUGAGAUUUUUAUUUUUAGCCGUUGAUUUUGAACCCUUUCAAUCGUUAGGUAAAUGAUAUUGAAAAUCACAAAUUUCAUUUUCUAGAUACUUCAAAUACGCUAGAUCAAGUCUAACGGAGCCGAUUGUCAAUUCAGAAGCUCCAUCAUCAAAAACGGCUUAGGAGCACGGAGGCCUCCAUGCUCCUACUAACACACAAGACCUACUCUAUAUAUAUAUAUAUAUAUAUAUAUAUAUAUAUAUAAGAGAGAGAGAGAGAGAGAGAGAGAGAGAAGAGAGAGAGAGAAGAGAUAGAUAGGCGCUACUAUACUCUUGAUAUAAACUUUUGUAUCAUAAUUGUUUUUCAUUGAUGAUUGAGUCUCCGAAUCGAGCGACUCCACUCUAUAACAUUAUGAUGUAGAGUAUUUGAAAUUAUCUAAAAAAUAAUUUUGUAAUUUUUAACAUAAAUAUUAUAAAGUCCAUCCAAGCGGGAUACAAAUGAACAGCAAAAUCGAAAGAUAUUCUAAAAAUGGAUAUCUGGAUUCCUCUAAAUUAAAAUUGGAGUUAUUGAUCUUUAUCUAGAUAGUGAAUAGAAUUUUUAAUCAUAUUAAAAAUUCAAUCGUUUCCAGUUAUUUUACACUGUUAAACUAGCAAAUAUCUUAUACCGGCUGUUAAAAUUUGUCAAUUUUGUGAUAUUUUGAUCGUCAGGUAAAUGAUGUUGAAAAAUUAUGAAAUUUGAUUUCUAGAAGUUUAAAUGCUGAUAAUUUUUAACGAUAUGGAUCGUUAAUUCGGAAUCUCUAUCAUAAAAAAUAACUUAUGAGUAUGAGAACGAUUGUACUCAUAAGAGUAUAGUAACCAGACUAUGUAUAUAUAUAGUUGAGCUGGACUGCUAUCGGUAGCAAACGAGCUCCGUUGUCACCUAUAUUUUUUCAAUGAUGGAGCCUCCAAAUCGACGAUCAGCACCGUUGAAUAUGAUCUAUACCACUUGAAGCAUUUAGAAAUCAAAUUACAUAUUUUUCUUAUAUUGUUCUUGUCUAUCAGGUGGACACAAAAAUGAACGACUGAGAAUGAAUAUCUUUUAAAAAAUGAUGAUAGAAAUUUUGUAAUCAAAAUCGAGAAUAUAUAUCUAGUUCUAAAUAGUUUUAAAAAUUUUCUAACUAAAAUUCAAUUAAUUUGGAUAUUUUUACAACGUUAAACGAGAAAACGCCUCAUAUCGAUCAUUAAAAUUAUAAAUUUUGAAACUCUUUGAUUAUUAGGUUAAUGAUGUCAAAAAGAUUUGAAAUUUAGUUUUUACAUGCUUUAAGUGCCGAUUGUCGAUUUGGAGGCUCUAUCAUCGAAAAUAAAUGGAUGACAACAAAGCCAAUUUAUUACCUAUAGCAAAUGGCUCCAUCAUCAAAAUCUCUCUCUCUCUCUCUCUCUCUCUCUCUCUCAAGUUUCUGAAACAGUUUCUCAUCUUCGAAAAGUAGGAAGUAAAGUGUUUGACAAAUAAGCAAUGUAAAGAUUUUGUUCUAAAGAAAGUUAAAGUGUAAAUCCUUUCAGUUUUUCCGCUCAGUUAAACUAAAAAUUCUAUCCAAUAUAUAUAGCAACUCUAUAUGUUAUUAACUAUUAAUCGUACUAAUUUUAUUCACUAAAAAGUGUGCGAAAUUACUAAAUUUGGUGAAAUCAUUGAUAAUUUAAAAUCUCAAAUUUUUUUUGGCUAUUUCCAAAAGAAAACAAAAGUGAAAGGUUCUGAAUUAAAAUUUCAAAAUGGCAUAUAUAUUAUUUCGAGCGGGUGUAUAUACAUUUUACCUUACAUUUUUACCUUUUUAUGGUCUACAUUUAGUUCAAGAGGGCCUGCUAAUUUGAAAUUUAGAAAUUUUAGCCUACUAGUGGUGAUGGGCCGAACUUGUUUGUCACUUUCGUUAAUGGCUCCAUAUAUAUAUUAAACUCAUUUUGGUACAACAUAAUAUUAUUAUUAUUAUUAUUAUUAUUAUUAUUAUUAUUAUUAUUAUCAAUCUCGUAGGUUAUUGGCCGUAGAUGCACCCUUCUGGUUUUCUUACUUCGUCCAGUAUUCGAUUAUGAAAUCAUGUGAUAUCAUCGAAAGCUCAAACCUAAUAAAACUAUAUAUGGAUGUCAGAAUAAGUUAUUCAAAAAUAACUUAUUCGGUAUGAAAAUUUUUUAGCAUAUAAGAUUGUGAUUAAGGCGUUUGAUUUUUGUUUUUUCAAAAGUUGUGUUGUUCAUGAUUUAUUAUAUAAUAGUAUAUUUCAACUAUGAUGUAGUUUAUUUUAUUUUUAAAAAAUAAUUUUAAUGCCAAAUAUGAUAUUUCAUUUUAAAUAUUUGAUCUUACUCAUUAUCUACUAAAUGUAUAAAAUUUUUCAGUAAAUCAAGAGAAUAUACUGAAGAAAAUAUUCAUACAUCGAGACAAGUCCUAUGUAAUUUUAAGUUACUUUGAUAUGAAGUAUUAGAAUUACUAAAUUAAAAUUUUACGAGAGGGAACACGCAUUCUGUUUACUUCAGAAACACGAUUAAAUGUUCAUGAAAUACUUUCGUAAACGGCUCAACAAUUCCUCAAAAAGUACAGUUUGAUUAGUCAACACUAACCAAUCCGAAAUUUAGUAAUAUAUAUGUAAUUAACAAUGCUAACGUAUACGUAAUUUAUGAUUACAUAAAAGGCUAAAUCAUAGAGCUUGAGUGGAUAACAACUUUACCCAAAAGCCCAAAACAAAUUUAUUGCAUAAUUACAAACAAAUGAAAAUAAAUCAACCAACAAAAACAAAUCGAAGAAUCAAAAUUCUCUUCUUCUUCUCCUCCUCUUUUCCCCUCUCCAAUUACUUACAAACUUGUAAUAUUGGAAAAAUAACCACUCAAAUAAUAUUGGUUACUUCCCCAUUAAUCGAACACAUCUAAUUACAAGGAUCAUUGAAUUUUCUCCAUACUUAUCUAAUCCGAUCGGGUCCUCUCCAGGCUCUUCUCCCUUUCGCUGUAUCGGAGCUCGAGCGACACCUCCCUCUCCAUCCGAAUAUGUUGAUAAAAAUUCGCGAUAAAAACAUCCGCCCUCGCGUCGAUAUCGUCGCCCCCGGGCGUCGACAGCAAGCUACUCGUCCGCGACACUGCACCAGUACUGGAGCUCGAAAAAGAAGAUGCGCCCGUGUCGACGUAUACGCCGUCAGUGGCGUCGGCUAGGCUCGGUCGGGGGCUAAAGCUCGCCAGUUGUGGCCCGGGCGACGAACCGAUGAUCGAAAACAUGACCCACCUGGUGGGGUUGAACGAUAGCAAAAAUUUCACCUUGUGAAUUGCCCUUCUCAGGCGACUAAGGAGUUGAAACGUCUUAGUAUUAGUGAUUGCCAUGAGUGCUUUCGUUAUAUUGGUGUGAAAGAGCUUCGAAUAGAGUUUGUUAGGGUAAAUGUAGGUGUGUGUUCCUCCAAAUGAGAGAGAUUGAUGUAUAUAUACAUAGGGAGAGAGAAAUAGAUAAUGUGGAAUGGUCUCAUGGGAAACAAAUUAGAGAGGAAGCUACAUGGCUUUAAGAGAUUGCUGGGAAGGUAAGGAAAGAGACGUGUGGGAGACUAAGUCCACGUAUGCGGCCACAACGCGUGGGGGGGAAGCUAUUGCACGCGUGCAUGCACCAUGCAUGCAUGGCCUGUAGACCGGGUCUUCAGAACUCAAAAAUAGAUGCACCAAGGGUUAAAUAUGAUUUAUAUAAUGCUAGAAAGAGCUUGAGUGAAGUUGACCUGGGUACCCUGGUUUAUUGAAGCUGAUUAAAUUUAACUAUCGUUAGUAAUUUUCAUAUUUUAUUAUUUAGACAUCAAAUAGUUGCAAAAACCAAUAGUUUUAAAAUAUUUGAAGUUAAUUUGCUACGAACAUGAGAAAUGAUGUUAAUUAAUUAAUAUAUUCUUAUAUUCUGAUGUCUUAAAUUUUUUGAUCUGAUUAUAGUGAUCUAUAUAUAUUUCAUGUAGGCUUUUUAUUUCUCGUAUCAUGUUAUAUUAUUUGCCGUCUAGUAAAUUCAUAGAAAUUCAAAUUACAGAGAUUUUUAAGAUAGAAAAGAGAAACUUCGAUUAGUCUCCGGAAGGCAAAGUGAAAAAUGAACUAAUCAUCAGAUAUCUAAGAGUAAUAUUUUGAACCUCAACAUACGAGUAAUAGUCUAUCUGAAUUAGUCGCGUGUUGGUGGGUCACUUGGAAGGUUAGAAACGAGUUUAUUUUUAGAAAGAUCCAUCCUGACCCAGUGUUGGCCGUCCACAAGCUUAAGGUAAUGCUAAAGUUCUGGGACUACCUCCGCCAACCGAAGUAGAAGAGAGUAUUGGCCUUCCACGAGUUUUUUCUUUUUCUUUUUUCUUUUUUUUUUUGCUCUCUCAAGGCUCCGGAUGCCUCACCCCUGUAUCCUAAUUCAUCGUUCCAAUGAAUAAAGCCGGUAGCGUACUACCUUUUUCUCAAAAAAAAAAAAAAAAUUGAACCACAUGUUGUUCAUUUUUUAAAAAUAAAUUCAGCUAGAAAUAUAUAUUAACUGCGCCAGGUAUACAGUCAAUUACAGUAGAUUAAACUUAAUCCUCUAGAUUUAUGUUUUGAAGGCUUUGGUGUAUAGACCACGGUCCAUGGAAUAAUUUCUCCGAGUAGGGACACACGUAGAGCAAGUCAAAGUGUUUCCACGUAAUCAAAUAAGUUGUAACUUGUACGUGUUGGGAAACCAAAACACUUUUGCUUUGUGGUGAAGUUCAAUGCACGUUGCAGGUUUACGCGCGGUGGAUUGAUUGAUGAUGAGAAAAUCUCCACCGUACGAUGGAUUGAACAUGUCACGAGACAUACUAAGUGCGAAGUUCAUUGCAUUACCAGUCAACGGUCAACAGUUUUUUUUUGUAUCUUGUACAUGUGGCUUAAUUGUAUAGGAUGAGUGUGCUAAUGUGUGCAUGUUUGACUCGGUAUCUAAGCAAAGUUGAAAAUCUACAGAUACUUCCCUCUCCGCCUCUCUAAGAAAUAUAUAUUUCACUUACAAACUUGAUUAAUUUAUACUUUUUUAACCAAAAAAAAAGAAGAUAAAUUUGAUUAAUUGUUCAAAAUUUACACUUAAUUUGCAAUGCCAUCAAUACUUCAUCUUUUCGGAUAACAAACGAAAGGGAGAAAAAGAAAAGAAAACAAAAGAAAAUGCAUGUUUAAUUAGCCUACUUAAGGGUAUAGGGUCGAAACUUACGUGCUUAAGCUCUUGGAGUCCGAACGUUCUAGUCGAAGUUUCGAAUAUUUGGACGGAUGUAGGUAGGCCUAGGUUAAGUCAGAAAAUUCUAACAAUGGUAUUUGAUAAUAAGAGAAUUCUGGGCUAAUCAUUUAAGCAAUGUACAUUGUGCUCUCGAGUACCGUUAGUGCAUGGAUCAAAUAAAACCUGCAAUCUUAAGCUUGUAAAUAGUGAACUUAAAUGCUUUCGUGUGAUCGGUUUAUGUGUGAUCGGCUUAUUAGUUUACUGUUGGAGAAGACCUUCAAAAGAACAAAUUGAUUAGGUGAAGGGCAUCUAAACUUUUCUUAUACACUCUUUUACAGAAAGCUAGAAUUUUUGUGUUCAUCAACAACUGUUCAAGAACUAAUCAAGUGGAUCAAUAUAACUAAUGUUAUUAAAGUGAAAUUUGUAUUCUUACAUACAAUUGUAGAUAUCCAUCAUGCAUAAUAUUAAGCCAUCUCAGCUGUAAUUAAUAUGCUUUGUUCACAAUGUUCCUAAGGCAAGUUUACGACCGGGGCUUUGGGAAAUGGUUUGCAUGAAUCGACAUUGACUCGAAUCAAAUCCAUUUAUAUUAGAAGUACUAACAUUAAUUAACUAGAGCCAAUUCCACCACACAACUAAGAAGGAAAAUUGCUAGAGAUCUAGGGGUAAAAUGUGCCGGGACCAUCUCAAAUAUGGGCUAUUAAUUUACUUUGAAAUUUAUGUCCUUUAACUUUUCAUCUCAUAUAUGGACAUUUUUGACUUUCAUUUAUUUUGAUUUUUGUUAUUUUAGUCUUAUGUAUAUAAUGGGUAUAUAUUUCGGGUAUAUAUUUAAUUAAAUUAAUCAGUAGUUUAGCCAAAUUUCAUGCCUUUAACUAUUUUUUUGCUGAAGGAAAAAUAAAAUUUUAUCUAAUUAAUUAUUAACGAUAUAUAUAUNUAGAAUACUAUCGAUAGUAAACGGGCUCCGUUGCCACCCAUUUGUUUUCGAUGAUGGAGCCUCCAAAUCGACGAUCGGCACCUUUAAACAUGAUCUAUACCACUUGAAGUGUUUAGAAAUCAAAUUUCAUACAUUUUCGAUAUUGUUCUCUUAUCCAUCGAGUAGACACAAAAAUGAACGGCUGAAAAUGAAUAUUCUUUAAAAAAUGAUGAUAGGAGUCUUGUAAUCAAGAUCAAGAGUAUAGAUUUUGUUUUAAAUAGUUUAAAAAAUUUUCUAAAAAAAUUCAAUUAAUUUGGAUAUCUUUACGCUGUUAAACGAGAAAACGCCUCAUAUCGAUCAUUAAAAUUACAAAUUUUGAAACCCUUUGAUCAUUAGGUAAAUGAUGUCGAAAAGAUUUGAAAUUUAAUUUCUAAACCCUCAAGUGGUAUAGAUCACGUUCAAUGGUGCCGAUUGUCAAUUUGGAAGCUCUAUCAUCGAAAACAAAUGGGUGGCAACGGAACCCGUUUGCUAUCGAUAGUAUUCUAGCUCAACUCUAUAUAUAUAUAUAUAUAUAUAUAUAUAUAUAUAUAUAGACCAUCUACUAUUCUAUUAAUAGGAUUGAGAACAUUGUCCUAUCAAAUUGUUUUGAAUGAUCGGAGCUUCAAAUUCAUAAUCGGUACCGCUGAAAUUGAUCUACACAAUUAGAAAUAUUUAGAAACCAAAUUUUGUAAUAUUUAAAAAUCAUUAUCAAGUUCAUCGAAGAUUUUGAAAAAUGAACGGUUAUAAAUGAAUAACCUUCUUAAAAUAGAGGUUAAACUUUUUCAAUUCAUAAUCAGAGUUAUCAAACAUUAUCUAAAUAGUAUAAAAAAUUUUCUAUCAAAAAUUUAAGUAAUUUGGAUUGCUCUACACCGUUAAACAAGCAAACGGCUCAUAUAGGCCAUAAAAAAUUGUCGAUUUUACGACACUUUGAUCACGAUGUAAAUAAUUUUUAAAAUUUAUGAAAUUUAGUUUCUAGAUAUUUCAAAUACUCUAGAUCAACUUCAACGGCUCCGAUCAUCGAUUUGGAAUCUCUAUCAUCAAGAACAAGUUGAUAGGACAAGUACUACUAUCCUCUUAUAGUAGCCCUAGCAUAUAUAUAUAUAUAUAUAUAGUCCAGCUAUAGUGCUUGUAAAAGUAUCAAGUAUUUGGUACUUGUAAAUUUUUUACCAUUAGAUCUACUUCUCAGAUUAUUUUCAACCAUUAGAUUAUACUAUUCAACCAACCACCCACUCAACCCUAGGGGGCCCACAUCAUCCUAACUGCAUAUCUCUUAAUCCAAUGGCUAAAAAUCUACAAGCACUAAUAACUUGGUACUUUUAAAAGCAUAGGAGCUCAAUUCUAUAUAGUACGUCUUCUGUGCUUUCAAAAGUACGAAGGCCUUCGUAUUUGUAAGUUGUUUUCGAUUAUAGAGUAUCCGAUUUGAUGAUCGCUUCAUUAAGCAUAAUUUAUGCUUUUGGAACUAUCUAAAAAUCAAAUUUCAUAAUUUUUUGAUAUCAUUUACCAAGUAAUCAAAAUGUCUCAAAAAUAACUAUUUUAACAGUCAAUGUGACACAUUUUUAAAUUCAACGGUGUAGAACAAUCCAAAUUAUAUAAAACUUUAAUAGAAAAUUUCACUUAACAUAAAUAGCAAGAUUAAUACUUCUGAUUUAAAAUUUGAGUCUUUUAUCAUUAUUUUUUAUGAGAAUUUUAUUUUCAACCGUUUAUUUUGAUGUUACUCGUUCGCUAGGCAAAUGAAGUCAAAAAAUUAUAAAAUUUUAGUUUCUAGAUAGUUCUAAUAGUGUAAAUUAUGUUUAAUGGAACCGAUCGCCGAAUUGAAUAUCUCAUAAUCGAAAACAACUUAUAAGCAUAGAGACCUUCGUAUUUUCGUAAGCAUAAGACACUCACUCUCUCUCUCUCUCUCUCUCUCUCUCUCUCUCUCUCUCUCUCUCUAUAUAUAUAUAUAUAUAUAGGUGAUGAAGAUGUUAAUUUUAAUCAAAUUUCUAAACCAAUUAAUUACUUGACCAGCAAAGCUCAACUGUAAUAUAAGAAAGUGUUAGUCCCAAAAGUGGUAGGUAAAGGGUCUAUUUCAAAAUCGCCUAUCCGUCCAUUUUAUUAUUGGUGAUUUGUCUUUUUUCCCCCUUAAACAGUGAGGAAGAUGUGGCGGCUAAUUAGAAAAAUAUAUAUAGUUUUAGCACUAUUUAUCGUUGAUCGACAAUGACUUAAAGUUCUAGUCUUUUAAUCUUUUUGCGCUUCAUUUAUUGCUUAGCACACCCACAUUUUCUUAAUGCAAUUUGGUCUUACAAACAUUUAAUAUGCAUUAGUUUUAACAUUUAAUAUGCAAUUUGGACCAAGAUCUUGGGAGUUGACUUGGAAGAAAUGCAAGUACUGAUACCGAACCUCUCGGAGCUAGUGGAAUGGCUAUCCCGUUACACCGUUGAGAGCAGUCAGGAUGAAAUUCAGUGGCGAUGGAAUAAUGAUGGACACUUCUCGGUUAAAUCGACCUAUUCCGCUUUGACGGACGGUGGGACGAGGGAUGCCCGAGCCGCCGCCAUUUGGAGUCUCAAAAUUCCUCUCAAGGUUAAAGUAUUCAGCUGGCUGGUGCUCAAGAAAAGAAUUCUCACACGGGAUAAGCUAGUUAAGCGGGGGUGGAUUAACGAUCCUAUUUGUGUGCUCUGCGGGGCGGAUGAAGAAACCGUGGAUCACCUAUUCACUUGCUGCGUAUUUUACAAGUUUGUGUUAGUGACAGUUGUGGACGACAUCCAGGCCCAAGAUUUGGGGGAUGACGUACAUCUCGUGUGGGAUAGGUGGAUGUGCUUAAAGGACCAUUGAAAAAAGAGGAACAGACUUACAGACCUAGUUGGCUGCUGGUGGAACAUCUGGAAUGUCUAAAACGAUUGUAUCUUUCGGAACAUCCCGCCAAACCCCGGUUUAGCGACCCAGAGACUCUUCCUGCUGCUGAAAGAGUGGGAUCUUCUUCUAGACACGUAGCAAGUUUGGACCCAACAUUUUUUUUUUUUUUUUUUUUUUUUUUUUUUUGGAAAGNGGGUGGAUUAACGAUCCUUGUUGUGUGCUUUGCGGGGCGGAAGAAGAAAGUGUGGAUCAUCUAUUCACCCGUUGUGUAUUCUGCAAGUUUAUGAUAGUAUCAGGGGUGGACGACAUUCAGGCUCAAGAUUUGGGGGAUGACGUCCAUCGAGUGUGGGAUAAGUGGAGGUGCUUGAAGGACCACCAAAAGAAGCGAAACAGACUUACAGACCUAGUAGGCUGCUGGUGGAGCAUCUGGAAGGUCAGAAAUGACUGUAUCUUUCGGAACAUCUUGCCGAACCCCGGUUUAGCGACCCAGAGACUCAUCCUGCUGCUAAAAGAGUGGGAUCUCCUUCUAGACACGUAGCAGUUUUGGACCCAACAUUUUUUUUUUUUUUUCGGCUUGUUUUCUCUCGGGGCCGUGCUGCCCCACUCUUGUAGCUUAAUUUAUCUGUUUAAUGAAUAAAGCGGGUAGCGUGCUACAUUUUUCUCGAAAAAAAAAAACAUUUAAUAUGCAUUAAUUGCAUCCUUAAUUACUAUGAUUUUUGGACUUAAUCAUUUGGAAGAAGCCUAAUUUGCACCUUUGAAGAAGCAUGAGCAAAUGCAGGCUCCCAUGAAGAGUGAUUGUUUCCGUUGCCUCAUAAAUACUAUUGUAAUUAAUAACUAUUAUCUACAAGAAUAAUUUUCUGCAACAAACAAGAAUUAUUGUAAAUCGUUGCUAUAAAUCUUGUGAUAAUAGACAACUAAACCGAAUAAUUUAUAUUAUCACAACGGUACAAACUGUUGCAAUAAAUAUAUAUUGUAAUAAUGUAAUUCUCAAUACAAUUAAACUGAUGUAACAGAAUAAAAUUGUUGUAGCACAGCCCCUCUUCACUCAGUAAAUUGAUUCAAUUAUUAUAAUAAUUAAAAUUGAAACAUAGUAUCUUAAUUAACUAAAAUUAUAAUUUUAUUAUUAUGCUGCAAUUUAGUAUUGUUAUUAUUUUGUAGUAGAACCUAUUUAAUUAACUUGCCACCUCUCCAUAUGCUAUGGUGUGCAAACUUUGAAUAUUUGUCAAUUAUUGAUUUAAAAGCUGUAGUAAAAUUUUCUCAGUUUAUCGAUAAAAUUAAUCACGAACUUACUGUAUCUUAAUUAAUGGUUGAUUUAAAGAUUGUGAGAAUCAUAUAUUGAUAAAAUAUAUGUUAAAGGGGAGGUUGUUCAUGCACUUGUACCCAGAAACUUGUUUCCUCAAAAUUAAUAGAUUACAUGGGACUGUUUUCGAUAUUUACAAAUGGUUGGUUCUUUGUUUCGUAAUGUAGACAAGUAGAAAAUGACUUGGCACCUGCAAUUUAGGAACACAACAAAACAAUAGUCUCAUCAAACCAAAGAUAAAAACUCAAAGAGUGCACAAAAUUAAUAAUCACGUACAUAGUUUUUAACUAAGAAGCGUAAAGCGUCCUCUAAGCAUUAGAACUCCUGUUUGUACCUUUUCUUCUUAGUUGUGCGUUUGUAUUAGUAAUCAAAAUAGAAAUUAUUGCCUACACAAAGCGCGUAUGCAUCUCUCGAUCAAUCGUUCGAUUCAUACGUAUGCAUGUAUAGUGACCUAAAACUAUGUAUAAUCUGAGAUGCUGGGACCUUGAAUCUUUCUUUCUUUUUUCUUUUUACUUUUUACUUUUUUGAAAUGCAAAAUUGGUUAUUCGAAUUGUAAUUGACAACCGGCAAAUUUACGUUGUACGUAGAGAAUAGAAUAUAUAAACACUGUUCUCUGCUGACUUAAACUUAAGAUUUCAGAAAAAAAUAAUUAUUUUAUAUUAUUUAACAUAGGAUGAGGAUAAGAGGUUGUAAGUUCGAAUCUCACUAGCUCGUAGUCUCAUUUAAUUCUUUCUAUUAAUUCAAGUUCACGUUUCAGAUGAGGGCCUGAAAGGGAGUGUUGAGAAUGAAAUAUAAAAACAAUUAUUUUAUAUAAUUCAAUAAAGGUGGUGGUUGCUAAAAUUGAAGUUAGAAUUUACUUGUGUAACUUUAAAAACUUCAUUAAUUAACUACAUAUUCAUAUUGUCAUGGACAUUUGUGCAUAAACUUAUUUAUCUAAAUGCUGUUGAUUUUUGCAUAAAUACUUAAGCUAUUUUUACGUGUAUCAGGGCACUGACACAAAUACGUAGGAUUUUACAUGCUUUUUUUUUUUUUUUUUGAGAGAUAGGUAGCACGCUACCCGUUUCGUUUAUUUCAUUUAGAAAUAAAUUUAGCUAGAAAUGUGAAUCAACUAUGUAGGAUUUUACAUGCUUGAAUAGUAAAUUUAUAGGGUUAAUUCUGAUCGAGAUAAUGUCUCAUAGUUGUAGAGGUAUCUAUUGUACCAAAAAACAAUAAAUAUUGCUUGCCGUACAAAGUAUUCGAAACAUAUAUUUAAUUUGGGUCCCCAACACUAUUCUUAUAGGUUGUUAAUAUGUCCAUAAAUACAUCUGAUAACUUAAACUUCGUGCACGCAUAUGCCAUCCAAUAAUACUAACAGUGUUUUGAAAGAUUGUAAAGGCCUGUUUGGUUUACAGUUUUAAAUAUUUCGAUAAUUCUUCGUAUUUUUUAUUAAAAAUAUUCAAAUUAUUACGAUUCAACUCAAGUUUGGUAGCUAUAAAAGAUGUUAGGAAAUCAGUAAAAUUAAUAAUUGUAAAUCUCUAGAUGGUAAAAAUUCAUCGAUUAUGCAUGAGCCAUUCUUAUUAUCAUACUCGAUGGUAAUCAUUAGUAAUCCAUUUAUAUAUAAAAAUAUAUAUAUUCGUUCUUAAUAACUUUCUGAUCCGAAUUAAUGGCUUGGUAAAUUAAUAAGAAACUUAUCUUUCCCAAUAUAAAAUAUAUAAUAUUCUUGAUGAAAUAUGACAAACUUUGAACAAUAAUUGAGAUAUUAUUCUUUGUAUCUUGUACUUCCCAUAAUCCUAGUAGAGUCCAAAAAUGUGCCUCUCACGAGGGGAGUGGUAAUAUUGCAGGAUAUUAAUUAGUGAUCUAGGAAUUCCGCAGCCAAGUUGCUACUGCAUGUGGAAAGCUCCUCGAACCACAACUAUGUUUGCGACAGGUGCGUUUUUAAUUUGAACACGAGUGGGGAGUAGAAGCAUAUAUCACCGUUUCGAGUUGUCCUUCUCUAGAUAUAAGACAAAAGAAGUCUCCCCCACAAUCCGUAUAAGUUUUUUUUUUUUUUUUUUUUUUUGAGAGAUAGGUAGCACGCUACCCGUUUCGUUUAUUUCAUUUAGAAAUAAACUUAGCUGGAAAUAUGAAUCAACUAGGAUUCGAACUUGGAUCUCGGGUACCAACCACUAAGCCCUUUGCCACUUGCUCUAGGGCGGUCGGUAAUCCGUACAAGUAUCGAUAUGACCAUCUAUGAGUGCUUCAAACUUACAUAAUAAAUAUUAAAUAUCUAAAUCUAAAUUUAUUGAUGUACUGUCACAUAAAUUAGUGCAAGCAAAUAUGGAGGUGAAAAAAAAUCUAAAAUGUAUCGAAUAUAUUGCUGACGUUGUGUUUCUAAUUAAUAAAAUUAUUUUUUUGAAUUGAUAUAUAUAUAGGGAUGUCAACGGAUCGGGUUUGGGUCGAAUUUUUAAAAACCUGAGCCCGAACCCGAAAACCAAAUUAAAAUCUGUAUCCGGACCCAAACCCGGCGGGUUUUAAAAAUCCAUACCCAUAUCUGUACCCGACCAAAAACCCGAAACCCGAACCCGGACCCGGACCCAGACCGGCCGGUUUUAAAAAUUCAUACCGUUAAAUGAAGAUCUAAGAGAUAAAAAUUAUUAAAUAUUUUAUAUAUUAUAUAAAUAAAUAAAAAUAAAAUGUGUAUAUAUAUAUAUAAUUUAUUCGGGUUCGGGUUCGGAUUCGGGUCGGGUUCGGGUUCAGGUCGGGUAAAUACAAAAUCUAUAUCCGUAUACAUAUCCGUCGGGUUUUUAUUUUCUAUACCCAUAAUCAAAUCCAUACCCGUUUAGCUCGGAUAAAUCUGCCCUGUUCGGAUUCGGGUUCGGGUAAUAUUUCGGGUAUUCAUGCCCAUUGACAUCCCUAGAUAUAUCCCAUUAUAAUAAAUAAAAAAUAUUUUUGUUGUAAUUUUUUUUUCAAAUGAAAAUAUAUGAUUGACUUGUUAUUGAUGAUGUGGUGCAAAUGUGAUAUAAUAGACUUCCUCGUACGAAAAUUUGUUGAUGCAUCAACAACUCACAAAGCCGAUAAUAUUAACGUUGGAGCGCGAUAUUCUAAACACUAAAAUAUUCUAAUUUAAACAGUUAGAAUAUGAUGUAUAACUUUUAAAUUAUUAACAAAUAAGCAUUAAAAGUUAGAUGGUCACAAAAUCACUUGAUUAGAAAAUUUAUUCUUUGUUAAACAACAAAAUCGGUGUCAACAUACUUAUGAUUUUUAUGAUUGUGGAGCACAUCGAUUAUCUAACUGUUUAUAUUUAGAUUAAUGAUUUUGAGAUGAAUUGCAGAACUAAAUAUUUUUGACCAACUAGAAAGUCGAUCUACUCUUCGAAAAUAGUUACUUCCAAAGUUUAUUUUUUAUUAUUAAAAUUUUAAUCUUGUUAGUAACAAAAUUUAAAACAACUAAAAGAUUAUAAAAAAAAAAAGAAUAAAAAUUUCUUCCAUGCGCAAUUGAAUGUAUCCAUCACUACAAAAUAUCUUACAGCAUUUUAGCACAUGUAUUUUACGAUUCAGGCAGUUUAUAUAUGAAAAUAACAGAGAGAUAGUGAUGGAGAUAGAGAGAGAAAGAGAGAUGAAAAAAAAAGUGAUUUUUUGCGAUUCAGGCAGUUUAUGUAUGAAAAUAACAGAAGAUAGAGAUGGAGAUAAAGAGAGAAAAAGAGAGAUGGAAAAAAUGUGAUUUUUGGAUUGAGAGAGAAUAAUAAAAUAUAUAUAGGCAACUCUUAAUUAAUUUCCACAUUAAAAUUAAAUAAUUCGAGAAUUAUAACCCACGUAUUUACAUGAAACUUCCAACCAAAUCACCAUUUAUUCAACAUUAAGGCUUCGUUUGGUUCGGGUAUAACCAAGAACUAGUUAUACCGGGGAUAGGUACAAGUAUGGAUUUUCGUAGGAAUAAGGAUGAAAAUGUGAGUAUAAGCUGGAAUUAGAAUAAUUGUGUUUGGAUUAAAAUAUGAGUAUAAGGUGUAAUAGUUGGUAGUUAUAAAUAGAAAAUAAUGAUAUUACCCCUAUAGUUGAAUUUAAAAUUUUAAACCAAAAAUUUUAAAUUAAAAAUUUUAACUUUUACAUUUUAAAUUUUGAAAUUAAAUUUAAAAUUUUAAUUUUCAAAAAUUUUAAUUUUAAAUAUCUAAUUUUUAAUUUAAGACCAAAUUUAAAUUUGAAAGAUAUAAAAUAUCAAAUUUAAAAUUUAAAAACUAAAAAUAUCAUAUUUAAAAUUUAAAAUUUAAAAAUAUCAAAUUUAAAAUUUAAACUUUAAAAUUUAUAAUUUAAAAUUAUAAAUUAUAAAUUUUAGAAAUUUAAAUUUAAAAUAAAAAUCUCUCUCUCUCUCCUCUCUCCUCUCUCUCUCUCUCAUACCGGGGGGUGGAACAAGUUAUUCCACCACUGGGUGGGAACACUUGUUCCCACCUACCAAAAAUGUUGUUUGGGUACAAGAGGGGGGAUAACCUCCUUAUCUCUCCUCUUGUACCCAAUCCAAACACAGCCUAAAGAUAUUAAUUGUCAUUAAUUCUAGUUUUUAUUUUGUUAUUGAAAGUGGCCUUAAAUUCAUGGUGAAAGUAAAACAACGAAAAGUUUCAUAACUGAAAAAGAAGAUUGGGGUGAAUUGCGAGCUUUUGCUUCCAAAAUACUAUUUGUUAUAUGUUAGGAUUUGGUUAGAUUUGUAGUUAAAUCCUAUUUGGAUAAGAAUUAAUAUUUAAAUCUGUUUGAGAUAAAUUAAGAUUUAAAUAUUAAUUAGAGAAUGAAUCUAACUAGAUUAGGAUAAAUAUUUAAAUCUAUUGGAGAUAAAUCAAUUAAGAUUUAAAUAUUUAUUGGAGUAGGAAUCCUAAAUAUAUUAGGAUUGGCUACAUUCUUGAUGAAGCAUUAUAUAUAAUGCAUUAGAGUCUCUUUUUGGGGAGAGUACGGCAAAGAGAAAAAAGUGCUCUUGGGGUGUCGUACCAGAGAGAGAAAAAGAGAGAGAGUUAUUUUGUGCACCUAGUGCACGUGUGCACGUAGAUGGAUUGUCUUUUAGGUUUAUAAAAGACGAGAGAAGGGUAGAAGAGAUUCAAAAAGAGGGCUCGAGUUGUAGCUACUCUGUUACAGAAGAGGAGUCAGGUGUAAUCUUCUCUUAUUUAAUGAAUCUUAUUUUAUCUGCAUAUUUUUCUCUUUUACGAUUGUAUCAGCUUUUGCUGAGGAGACGGGUUUAUGAUAAAAAAUCCGAUUUGAUGUUUCCGUUGCGGAAUCCCAACAAUCGAUACCAGAUCCACAGCAGUCGGUAUCGGAGUGGGUUGUGGAUUCACGAGAUCCGGUACCGGGGCGAGUAUCGAAUUCCCAACACUUGCUGCAAAGAUACGAGCAUGUACUGAGGCGGUUAAGUGGCUUCUAAAUAAUUAAUCGGCCUAAUAUCAAGUGCUCAAUUUACACGAAUCUUCUAAAUAAUCGUUCCUGUUUGUUUAAGGACCAGCAUAACCCGUUGUCACUACAAGAAUUAGAGCGUAUUGCUUCACUUCAACGCCUUUUGGACUCCAAUAAUAAUAUUCUUAUAGGGUGGUCGUCUAGAUAUAGUUCUUUUUCACAACGUGUUGAUAAAUUAGCUAAAUAGGGCCUUGGUUCCCAGGUAGCUUCUAGUUGGUCUUCUUUCGUAGAGUUUGAGAAGUCUGUAACUCCUUAUCAUAUGGAAUAAAUGCCUUAUGGUGUUCUUUUCCAAAAAAAAAAAAAAGAAAAAAAGAAAAAAAAAUCAGCUAAAUUGAUUUUAAGCCUUUAGAAUUUAAUAUGACUUGAUGAAAAAAAUCCGUACGUACGUACUCCUUGGAAAAUACACCUUUGUCAUAAAAGAAUAAAUAAAAUAAAUAAUUUAAAUGACCUUAGUAGACUUAAAAAUAAGUAAUUAAACAUCUAUUGGUAGAUUGGAUGUUUUUUUUUUAUUAAUAUAAAUCGUGAGUUUGAAAAAAAAAAAAAAAAUUGUUUAAUUGGGGGAUCCUGAUAUAUAUAAAACAGUUAAUUUACAACGAUAUUUUUUCGGUUAGUCAGUUGUUGUUGUUUGCCACAUACGGCCAUUAUAUAUAUUUUCCUAGCAAACCUACAAUGUAAGUAAGAACGUCUUUUUAAUACAAAAUCAAAAGUAAAACUUUUUAAUUUAUGGAUUUUCUUAUUGAAAGCUGUGAUUUUUCUCAGUAUACAUGUCUAACGUACGCGAAAAAUAUCUAAACGCUGGUAAACUGAUGACAAUCAUUGAAUAUCUAUAACCACACGGAUCGACCUUACGAAAAUUAUCAUGUAUUUAUUAUAUACGAUAGUUAAAAAAUUGUGAACAAGCCGAAGCAAACCAAGCCACAAUUCAUUCUUGAUUUAAAACGCAAACUUACUUUUAAUUCAACAGGGUCCUUAUUUUUUUUAUUGCAAAUUUAAACCUAUCUAUUCUACCUUAUUCUUCUUAUUGAAAUUCUAAUAUUUAAAAAAUUUAAAUUUUUUAAAUUUUAAAAUUAAAAUUAAAUUUUUAAUUUAUGCCCACCCAAUCGAUUAGGGUGGGGAUAAGGUUUUCCUCUCACCCCAAUCGAUUGGGGUGGGAAUUGCUCAAUAGGUUUCACAGACCCCUAAUUUCCCCCUAUCGGGGAAUAGGGGGGUUAAUUGGAGGUUGGUUUGUGGUGGGAUCCCAAAUCAACCUUAUCCAUCUUAUCAUAAACUAAAUUUCCGAUGUUUUCAAUCAUCGUGCGUGGUAAGUACAGAGUAAUCUUCGUGACCUGAGACCUAUCUCCAUUAAUUAAUAUUUUUUUUUGAAUCUUAAAACCACCAUUUAUAUUUUUAAAAUUUCAUAUUCACUGAUGUAUGUUUACCUACAUUGAUAAUACAUGUCCGUUAUGAUAAGUAUGUAAGGUACUAAUUUUAAUAUUUAAGUAUGGCUGGCAGAGAUCUCGUUCACUGUUUCCCGAACCACCAACCAUGGGCUCUGGGUUCAAACUUAGGAUCAACUAAGUGUAAAGAACAAUUUUGCUUCGCCUAUCGCACGAUGGAUAGAGAGUUUUUUUUUUUUUAAUAUUUAAGUAGAGAUAAUAUUCAAAAUUAAUAGUGUUAUAUAAGGAAAUUUCGAAGUUUUAUACGUUUAAAUAGAAUUGAUGGCAAACAAUUGCCAAUUCAAAAACGGCAAACCUGACAAUAUAGAAACCUUUUUUUAUUUAAAAAUUUUAGAAAAAGUCCUACAUAAUAAAUACUAAAAUCAUCUUACUAUGCAUUCAAUAUUAUUUUUAUUAAAUUUUAUUAUUUAUUAUAAUUUAUAUUAAUUUUCAUGUAUAACUUCCUAUCUUACCAAUAAAAUAAAAUGUAUUUUUCCAGUCGUGAUUAGACAGUUGAUUAUAUCUUUCCAUAUAUAAUUCGUGAUAAUACGAUUAAACCUCUUUAUAUAAACUAUUGACUUCGAAAUAUACUUUUUUAUAUAUAUAUUAAAAGAACAAAGUAUCCCUAUGUGAAUAAUAUAAAUAGUUAUUAAAUUUUUAGCCCUAACUGGCAGGGAUCAAGUUCACCGUUUUCCGGACGAACAACUAUGGGCUCUAGGGGCCAAGCUUCAGAUCAAUAAAGUAUAAAGAUUGAUUCAAAUAAUAAAGAUUUUACUUUAUUUGCUUUACCUAUCGUACAAUGGAAGGAGAGUUUUUUUUUUUUAAAUUUUUAGCCCUGCUUAGACGGCCAAGCUGGCAAAUCUGACAUUGGAUCAAAUGUUUCAUCAAGCCAAGUUGUGAAACUCGAUCUAUUCAAUUUUUUGGCGAAACUUGACACUUAGCCAAACCAAAAUAAGUUUAGCUANUUUAUGAUAAAAAAUCCGAUUUGAUGUUUCCGUUGCGGAAUCCCAACAAUCGAUACCAGAUCCACAGCAGUCGGUAUCGGAGUGGGUUGUGGAUUCACGAGAUCCGGUACCGGGGCGAGUACCGGAUUCCCAACAGUUAUAUACGAUAGAUAUGAUUAAUUUGUUAAUUUUACCUUCGCAAUCGCAGAUGUUUUAAUGAAUUAGCUUGAUACAUAUGUUACAACGAAGACAUUCUUGGUGUCAUAUAUAGACUGCAGAACAAUUAACGCAACAAUUUCUUGUAAGCUUAGUACUCAUCAAUAGGGCCCCUUCUAUUCAACUAGUUCCCAACAAGUAACACCAUUAUUCCAUAAGGUUCUGUUUAGAUAUUAGAAAAGGUUUAGGGUUUAUGGCUUAGGAUUAUCCUUGAAUAACUUGUCGCAUGAAGUUUUCCUUAUGUGAUUGGAGGCAAAGAUUUGAUUUUUGCUCCUUAAAAAUAUCUCUUCAUUCGUAAUUUAUCAGAAUAACGUAUUUCACCCGCAAGAUGAUUUUUCUUAUUCCAAAAAAUUGACUAGAAAGUGAAAUAUAACAUUCUAUUCUAGACGUUUAAUUAUAUCUCUCAUCUACUAAAAGCUAUAACUUUUUGAAUAAGAUUAAGAUCUUCAUUAAUCCAAAUAUAUAUGGUUUAAAGAAAAAUGCUACUUGUACACCCAUAUAUAAGUGUAGAUCUUUAUAUCCUUCAAAUUUUAGGUUUACAAAAUCCAAAUGGAUCUUUAAUUAGUUAACGAAUAAAAAGAUGAUAUGACUAGUGAGGGAAUAAGGGCCCUUAGAUGAGUAGGGUGUAAGGUUUACCCCAUAGCUAGAGGUGUAUGUUUAAGUGUAUUUAAUUUCACUAUGAUUCUUAAUAUCGGAAAGUCUUCAAUACAGAACGGCUCUUAACUCUUUGGUCACCCAAACAAUUAACUACAAGAAUAUUUAGAUUUAGUGGCAUUUAUAAAUAUUGCUAAAUAAGCUAGAAAUGCUACUAAAUCUUUUAGCAACAUUUAAAUUUUAGUAUUGCCUAUGCCAAUAUUAUUGAAUCUUUUAGCAACAUAUAGAGAGACGGUUGCCGAUGCUGAGGAAUUAGUAAUAGUUAACAAAUGUUGCUGUAUGAAAAUUUUAAAAGUACAUUUACUAAAUGGUGGUGCAUAUUAUUUAAUUAAUUCUCGCAUUAAUAUAGCUUUUAUUUUCUAAAUUUAAAAAAUAUUUCAUUAAUUAUAGCAAUAAUUAUAGCUUUUGAUAUUAAAUAAAUUAAAUUAUUAUUAGUUUUUGAUUAAUUAUUAUAAUUAUAGCCAAUAAUAAUCAAAUGUUACUAAACAAUCAGUAUAAUAGUAUUUCGAAUUAUUGGUAAAAGUGUUCUUUAUAUUAACAUUAAUUAAUUAUUAUUUAGAGAAUUUUAUGAUUAUGUGGUAAUAAUAGAGUAUAUUUAUUUUAAUUAAAAAAAUAAUAACAACUAUAACAAGAAUAUUCUAUCAGUUCUAUAUUACUCACAAUUUUUUACCCAAUUGAUAGUCACAAGUAGAAAACAACCUUAAACACCAAAGGUCUCAUAUAUAGCAUAAAUAAUAAAAUUUGUAAUAUAUUACAAAUCAAAUAACAUAUUUGAAUAUAAAAAUAAUUGAGCUUUCUCAUAAUUACAAAUAUGGUCAUGAUAAAAUAAAAAAAUAGUUGCUCCUUAUUCGUCGUAGAAGUCUCCAAAAUGCUUGAAUAAAAUAAUUUUAUAACCUUUAUUUGCUUACCCUGUAAAAAGGAUAAGGUUAAUAAUUAAACUUUCAUACAAUUUGUCAUAAGAUAUAGGAUACUAUAAACUACUAAAAGAAAAAAAUAUACCGCCCUUACUAAAUCAUAUAAGAUCACUAUACUUGCCUUAACAUCUUCAAAAUUAAUUAUACUCCCUAAAAGAAAACAAGAAAAGGUACCAAAUUAGAAUAAUAGCAAUAUAAUAACUACAAAUUAAGAUCUAAAAGUAAAACGUAAAAAAGCUGAUGAAAAUUAAGAAAUAAAAAACCUUAUAUCAUAUUAUAUAAUGCAAUAAAUUAAUGCGAUGACAAAUGAAAACGUGGAAGGGUAAUCCUAUUCUAGCCAUAGUAAACUUUGUUAGUUAAGAAAAAUAGAAAAAAGAAUUUUUAAUCUAUGAUUUUUACUAGAAAUUAAGAGGAAAUUGCUUUACCUAAGAAGAAAGGGAUAUUUAUUCAUUUUUAGAACUAAAAUUAAUAUCCCGAUACUAAUAUUUUUUCUCCAUUCUCACAAGUUGAAAAAAAUGGUGGGCAUGAUUUUGUUGGACUAUGGACUAGAAGAAGAAAUCAUAAGAGUGAAAAAUCUCUUUAAGAGUUUAAAGUGAAGAGACAAAGAAAAAGAAAAGUGAGAGAUAGAAGUGAAAAACAUUAAAAGGAGGGAAAAGAUAAAAAAUUUAAAAAUUAAGCGGAUUUUUAAAAAUUUGAAAAAUUCAUUAUCAUUUAUCACCAAAAUAUUGCUAAAUAUUGCAACAUUUAAUAAUUAGUGUUGGUAUUUUUUAUAUUUAGCAAUAUUUGUGUCUAAAUAUUGAUAAAUAAAUACAUUUAGUUAGCAACAUGAAUAAAAAUAUAUUGCUAAAUUUUAUAAUCAGUGUUACUUACUGAAAUAUUGCUAGUUAAAUGUUGCAUAUUCUUGUUCUUAGUCGUGAAUUGUACUCUAGCUCUGAUGGUGGUUGUGUGGCAUGCAAGAUCACAUUAGCUCACCGUUUUUCUAACUAAUUAAUAAAUUUUACAGAAAAAUCAUUCUAGAUCGUACAGUUAGAAAAAGAACUGAAAUGUAAUAAUCUACUUUUGGUCCCCUCCUACGUGUUAGUCGACAACUGAAUGAUCAUUACAGUGCAUGUGUCCACAUUGAGAUAUUGAAAGGUAUUUGAUGUUUUUGGAAAUUAUGGGAUGGUAACAUAUUUCGCCUACGAGAUAAUUCAUAUUAUUUUUAAAAAAUUGACCAGAAAGCGGAUUAUGUCAUUUCAUUCUCAAAUAUUUUGUUAUAUUUUCGAUCUAUCAAAUAUUAUAAUUUUUUGAGCAAAUUAAAGGGUACAUCCAAGAUAAAAUAUUCAUGCAUUCAAACAUGGCCUAAAAAAUUGCUACAUGUACAUCAAUAUAUAAGUGCGUAAAUCUUAUAUCCUUCAAAUCUUGGGUUCACAAAAUCCAAAUGGAUCUUUAAUGAACAAAAUAAUAAUAAUAAUAACAGUGAGGGAAUUAUAAUGUCCCUCAGAUGAGUAAGGUAUAAAAUAUACGCCUAAGCUAGAGCUGUAUGUUUAAGUGUAUUUAUUUUCACUAUGAUUCUUAAUAUCUUCAAUACAAAAGGGUCCUUAACUCUAAAUCUAUAAAAUUUUAUUCGGUCACCCAAACAAUAUUUGAACUCUAGCUCCGACGGUGGUCGUGUAGGAUGCUAACUCACAUUAUCUCACCUUUUUUCUAACUAAUAAAUUUUACGGAAAAAUCAUUCUACAUCAUACAGUUAGAAAAGAAAGUGAACUCACAUUAUCUCAAUUUCUUUUCCAAUUAAUAAAUUUUACAGAAAAAAUCAUUCUACAUCGUACAGUUAGAAAAGGAACUGAACUCACAUUAUCUCACUUUUUUUUUCCAAUUAAUAAAUUUUACAGAAAAAAUCAUUCUACAUCGUACAGUUAGAAAAGGAACUGAACUCACGUUAUCUCACUUCUUUUUUUCCAAUUAAUAAAUUUUACAGAAAAAAACAUUCUGCAUCGUACAGUUAGAAAAGGAACGAAAAUAUAAUACUCUACUUUUGGUCCCCUCGUGUUAAUCAACAACAAAUUAAACACAAAACAUGUGAGAGUGAGAGAGAGAGAGAGAUCUAGAGAGAGAGAGAGAGGCUGAGGAACAAAUGCGGGGUAAAACACUUUGUUCCUUUCUAGGUUAAAGUACACUUUUACUUCGUAAACUAUAAGGCAUAUAAUAUUUUAGUCUUCAAAUUUUAAUUUAUUGUUGUCUCUUGCUUGAGUUUUCUUAGAAUUAUUGCAGAUGAACCACACAAUCUAAUUUAGCAGACAAGAUGUUAAUAUAUUGCUAAUUAAUAUAAUAUUAUAGUUAUUGUCAUAUCAUCGUACUACGAAAUCAGCAAUGAAUCAGUAUCUAACUAGUUAACUUAAUCCAGAGUUAAAAUAUAAUAACAAUCAUCCUAAAAAUUUAAAUUAAAAUGUAUAAUAAAUUAAAAUUUAAAAACUAAAAUAUCACGCAUCAUUUUGUCUUAGAACCAUAUGUAUAAUUUACUAUAGAGAUGAAUAGAAAAUGCCCACUUAACGCCGCAGUUUUGCCCCCCCUCUCUCUCUCUCUCUCUCUCUCUCUCUCUCUCUCUCUCUCUCUCUCUCUCUUUAAUUAAUUCUCCCUUUAUCAAAUAUCAACUUGCUCCAAAGGAGCACCAUAUAUAUACACAAGCUUCUCGGCCAUAAUUCGAAGAAAACUACAUGCUUAAUUAAUCCACCUGCAAAAUUCUGCAUAACAACAACUUUUUAUUAGUUCUUUUAAAAUUAGCAUAUAUAAUUAUCAUUCUACGAACCUAUAAAUUAAUUAUACCACUUUUUUAGUGAACUGUACUAACUACCCAAUUAAAGUUUUCCAACUUGGCAUAAUGGUAAAUUUUUGUAGAAUAUGUAGGUUAUCAUAAUAAUUGGUUUAAAUGGCUAGAUUUAUUUUGUAACUUCGUGAAUCAUGAACACCCACCGAAAAGAUGUUUUUUUAUAUCAAAGAAAAUUUAGAAAAUACUUAUAAAAUUGUUCGUUAGUGUUACUCCCAAAUUAUUGUAUGUGGUCAUGCUACAGCUUUCAUAGUUCAAAUCUAAAAGUUUUAAAAGAUAAAUAUAAACCAUUAUAUGUGGCCAAUACCUCAUAGAAAGGUCAACCUUUCUCUCUUAUAUAAUGGAUAAUAUAUAUAAUAAAUAUUUGAGGAAUACUAGAUCUCUAACCUACUUUGGAUUGUAAUCCUAUAAUUAGUAUUUCUCUACAUACUCUUUCUUUCUCUAGGGGUCCAAUUAAUCCUCGUUUUCACAUUAGAACCAACCUCUAUUCCCCUUGAUCAUUAAAAACCACAAACACCCUAUGCUACACCUUUUUCCUAUCUCUAUGUUAGCUUCCAUGGACAUGGAGCCGGAGCCGGAGGAAGAAGAUCUUAACCUAGACCUAUCUCUCCAACCAUCUUCGCCCCCGGAGCCGGCCGGGGUCUUCUCCUGCAACUACUGCACCAGGAAGUUCUACAGCUCGCAAGCGCUGGGCGGUCACCAGAACGCUCACAAGCUCGAGCGGAGCAUCACAAAGAGGAGACGCGAGUCAGCUGCCGCUGCCGCCGCCGCCGUGCGCCCGCACGCGGGCGCAAGCUCCGGUGCGGUCGGUGGGAACUCGAGAGAUGCGCAGGUGGAGUCGGCGAGGGUUGCGUCGACGGAGAGGCAGAAAGGGGAGAAGAGCUACAAUGUGGGACGAUUUGAAACAGGGAUGAAGAAGAGUAAUGAAGAGCUUGCGGGUGAGAUUGAUUUGUCUCUAAAGCUAUGAAUACCAUGCAUGCACUACGUUUGUUUCCUCUUUUCCUUGCUCUUUAUAUUAUAUAUUUUCUUUCCUUCGGAUAAUAUAUAUCACACGUGUAGAUCCCCCUUCCCUACUUAAAAAAAAAACCUAUUGCCUACUCCUGGUGUAUCUGUAUGUCUCAUAUCGUUCCUAAUUUUCGAUGAUUAAUGUCUUGAAACUUAAAAUCUAAACUAUUAGCUAGACGUAAUCUAUACUAUCUAAAAGAGCAUUUACAUAAAAAUGUUUACAAGAUUUGAAAAUCCAUCACUAAGGUACGUAUUAAACAAUCCCAAAAAUCAACGGCAUAUUUACAAGAUAUGCGUUCUAUUAACACAUUCAAUGAAUUAGAUUUUGAUUUUAAGACCAUUAUACAAUCUCGGGGCUUGUAUACGAAACGUGUACCUGAACACCCAGUGCAUGCCAUAGCAAGGGAGAAGGGGAAACUGAAACACCAAUUCUACUCUGUGUAAGGAUGAUGAGCUUUUAAUGUGGAGUCAUUGACAUGCACAUUGGAAUUAGUGAGAGGUGUUUAUGGCAAGUGAAUGUACUGUACAACUUCUAGGCAUAUUCUAGUCUCUCUUUCUCUCAAAGAACUAUAGAAGUUUCUAAAAAUGGAAAUGAAAAAGAAUCUAUAGAUUUCAAUGUCUUAAGAUAGAUUUCAAUGUCUUAAGAUGGAGACGCUGCAUAUCAUUUUUCGCACUGUUUCAGCUCCUGCUUCCGCCGCUGGUGUACGUAUGUUAUACGUUUGUAAUACGUUAUCAUUUGUAUAUAUGAGGAAUACACCAUGAAAGCUCUAUGCUACUUAUACUUACAUUCUCUGCCAUAGCAGCUGCAUCUAUACCACAGCUGAUUUAAUCAAUUUGUUGCAUUAAUUUAUGUUCAAUUUUUAAACUUCAAAGUAGGAACCCUUGUGCCAAUGAAUGGUUAGGACCAUUGAGUCAAUUUUCAAUGUUAGAACAAAGAGAAAUAAUUCUGUACUUUAUUUUAUAAAAAAUAUAAAAAAAUCUUAACUGUUGAUUAAUAAAGGUUAAAAAUGUCAUUUUAUUAUAUAGUAGAUUAAAAGGUUAUUUCAUAUGAGAGUAUUUUUAUAAUUAAAGUAGAUAAAAUUUUAAGAUGGUUUUGACUAAUAUCCCAAAUUUAGCAUUAAUUUUGCACUAAUUUAAACAUUAAUUUAAGAUUUGAUUGAUAUGCCAAAUUUUAGGCAUUAAUUUUAAAAAUUUUAGAAUUCUUCUAACUUAAGCAUUAAUUUAAAUUUAGGAAUUUUAGAAAUAGUAAUAUUUCCAAAUAUGUUGAAUUUAAAUAUUUAAUAUUUAAAUUUAAAAAUUUAAAUUUAAAUAAGAGAAAUUUUGAUGAUGGAGCUUACAAAUCGACGAUCCACUCCGUAAAAUAUAAUCUAGAGUAUCUAAAACUUCUAGGAAAUAAAUUUCGUAAUUUUUUGAAAUCAUAAUAAAGCCCAUCAAGCUGGUAUAAAAUGAACAGUCAAAAUCGAAUGACAUUUUAAAAAUAGAUGAUUGGAUCUUUUAAUUUAAAAUCGGAGUUAUUGAUCUUUAUCUAGAUAGUGAAUAGAAUUUUCUAUCAAAAUAUCAACAGAUUCCGAUUCUUUUACACCGUUAAACUAGCAAGUAUCCUAUACCGGUCGUUAAAAGUUGUUAAUUUUGUGACCUUUUGAUCAUAAGGUAAAUGAUAUCGAAAAAUUAUGAAAUUUAAUUUUUAAAAAUUGUAAAUACUUUAGAUAAUAUUUUAGAGUAUGGAUCGUCGAUUUGAAAGUUAUAUCAUCGAAAACGAUUUUUGAAUACGAGGGAUCGUACUCAUACGAAUAUAGUAGCCGGACUCUCUCUCUCUCUAUAUAUAGAGAGGCCUAACCUAAACUUAAUUAAUUUAAUAUUCCAAUAGGCUGACUAUAACUCAUUAAUCACACUUCCUUUCUAAGGAACAAUAAAUCCUGUCUAUAACAACUUGGUGUAAAUCAACUCAAAAUUCUAAUCUAUUUCUAAUUUAGGGUUACUAUACCCGAUGAAUCUAUUUCUAAUCUAUUUCUAAUUAAGGAUAGUUACACCUCAAUGACCUCAUGAAUCCAUUUAAUUUUGCUUCACAAAAAUUUUAGCCCUCGUUACAAAAUAAUUUGAGUCCGCAUAUCUAACACCAACAAAAUUAACCCUCUUAGUGGGGCCUUGAUUUGAACACUUGGGUAAUGUACGUCAUGGCUAUUCGUGGGCUUCGAAAAGGUUCAUGUUCACUUCGCCUUCUACAGCAAAACCAUAUGUCAUGUCAAUGUCAGUAUAGUACUCAAUACAAUAUCUUUUUUCUUUUUUCCUGAUUAAAGGUCAGCAAAACACUGCUUCCAACAGUAGAACAUGUAGAAAAUAUCUGUAGAACAAAACGAGGUACAGUUGCAAAGCCCAAAAGUGAUCUUUAUGCAUCUCAUUAAUUGUAAAGAAUAAGGUUGAAAAAAAUGGAGGUACUCAUUUUAGAGAUAUACUAUAUUCUGUAAAUUAGAAAUAGGGUAUAAAUCUUAUACUAUUUUGUCCUAGGAUGUAGAUAUUAUUUUUGAAUUUAAUAUUAAAAAAAAGUUUUGCUGAGUUUAUUAGAAAAAUAUUGGUCUUGAAUGGACGAGAUAUAAAAUUGAUUUCGAAUUUUUUAGCGUACAAGUAGUGUGGCUAGCUCUUCUUUUUAUUAUUUAUUUCAUUAUUUUUAGAAGUAAGAAGUAAAGUUAUAAGAUAGACAAAAGAAUAUGCAUGCCGGUGACAAACAUAGAGGUAAUCAAUUAGUACUCUAACACUCAGUUUGGUUCGGAGAUAAGGGGGGAUAAUUUCUUAUCCUCUCUUUAUAUCGAAACGUUAUUUUUCGUACGCGAGAAUAGCUUUCAACUAUCUGAAAUAAGCUGGUAUCACCUGAUAUAAGUAUGGAAUUACUGUUUCACUCUUAUCCCUGGAACAACUGAGAACAAGAUUAAUUAAACUCUAAUUAAUUUUAAUUACAACAUUAAAUUAUUAAUUAUUCUAAUUAAUAUAUUUAAUAUAUUUAAAUUAUUAAUUAAUUUAAUUAAUAUUAAAUUAUUAUUUUUGGAUAAUCCGCUAAGGGUGGGAACGGUUGUUCUCACCCCUAUUUUUAAUUUUAAAAUUUUAAAAACUAAAACUUAAAAAAUUAAAAUUAAAAUUAAAAUUUUUAAAUUUAUAAUUUGUAAUCUCAAAAUUAAAGUUUAUAAUCUUAUAUUUUAAAUUUUAAAUUUUAAAUUUUAAAUUUGAUAUUUUAAAAUUUUAAAAUUUUAAAUUUUAAAUUUUAUAUUUUUCAAAUUUAAAUUUGAUCUUAAAUUUAAAGUUUUAAAUUUAAAAUUCUAAAAUUUGAAAUUUAAAAUUUGAGAUUUUAAAUUUUAAAUUUAAAUUUAAAUUUGAAUUUUAAAAUUUUAAAUUUUAAAUUUUAAAUUUAAAAAUAUAAAUAUAAAAUUUAAAAAUUCAAAUUCAAAUAUAAUAAAAGGAAUAAUAUCAUUAUUUUUUAUGUAUAAUUAUCCACUAUUUUUUUAUUCCAUCUUAUCUAUCGAAAUGCUUUUUUUUUUUAUUCCCGAAAAUAAUAUAAUUUUUCAUCAAAAUACAAAAUUGGUUUAUUUCUUACUUACACUUGAAAUUAUAACUAUCACCGAAAUAGUCGGUUCUUUUUCUUUUUUUUUUUUGAGAGAUAAGUAGCACGCUAUCCACUUCGUUUAUCACCGAAAUAGUCAGUUCUUUUUUUCUUUUUUUUUUUUGAGAGAUAAGUAGCACGCUAUCCACUUCGUUUAUCACCGAAAUAGUCAGUUCUUUUUUUCUUUUUUUUUUUUGAGAGAUAAGUAGCACGCUAUCCACUUCGUUUAUCACCGAAAUAGUCAGUUCUUUUUUUCUUUUUUUUUUUUGAGAGAUAAGUAGCACGCUAUCCACUUCGUUUAUCACCGAAAUAGUCAGUUCUUUUUUUCUUUUUUUUUUUUGAGAGAUAAGUAGCACGCUAUCCACUUCGUUUAUCACCGAAAUAGUCAGUUCUUUUUUUCUUUUUUUUUUUUGAGAGAUAAGUAGCACGCUAUCCACUUCGUUUAUCACCGAAAUAGUCAGUUCUUUUUUUCUUUUUUUUUUUUGAGAGAUAGGUAGCACGCUAUCCGCUUCGUUUAUUUUAUUUAGAAAUAAACCUAUCUGGAAAUGUGAAUCAACUAGGAUUUGAAGUUGGGUCUCGGGUACCAACCACCAAGCAUUUUGCUACUUGUUUUAGGGAUGGUUGGUGAAAUAGUCAGUUCUUGUUUUAGGUUUUAUUCUAUGUAGUUUGUAAUUUAGAUGUCAAUUAGUGGCAAAUUUUUUUUUUUCUAGAUCUGUCAGGUUGAAGAUAUUGAUGUUGCAGGCCUUAUGGGGUGAUAACAAACUUUACCUAAAAGUCCAAAACAAAUUUAUUGCAUAAUUACAAACAAAUUAAAAUAAAUCAACCAACAAAAACAAAUCAAAGAAUCAAAAUUCUCUUCUUCUCCUCCUCUUUUCCCCUCUCUAAUUACUUACAAACUUGUAAUAUUGGAUAAAUAACCAUUCAAAUAAUAUUGGUUGCUUCCCCAUUAGUUGAACACAUCUAAUUAAUUACAAGGAUCAUCGAAUUUUCUCCAUACUUAUCUAAUCCGAUCGGGUCCUCUCCAGGCUCUUCUCCCUUUCGCAAUAUCGAAGCUCGAGCGACACCUUUCUCUCCAUCCGAAUAUGUUUAUAAAAAUUCGCGAUAAAAACAUCCGCCCUCGCAUCAAUAUCGUCGCUCCCUGGCGUCGACACCGAGCUACUCGUCCGCGACACUGCAGCAGUACUGGAGCUCGAAAAAGAAGAGGCGCCCGUGUCGAGGUAUACGCUGUCGGUGGCGUCAGCUAGGCUCGGUCGGGGGCUAAAGCUCACCAGUUGUGGCCCGGGCGACGAGCCAAUGAUCGAAAACAUGACCCACCUGGUGGGGUUGAACGAUAACAAAAAUUUCACCUUGUGAAUUGCCCUUCUCAGGCGACUAAGGAGUUGAAACCUCUUAGUAUUAGUGAUUGCCAUGGGUGGUUUCGUUAUUUUGGUGCGAAAGAGCUUUGAAUAGAGUUUCUUAGGGUAAAUGUAGGUGUGUUUUCAUAUAUUUAUAUUAUAUGGAUAGGGAGAGAGAAAUAGAUAUACGGAAUGGUCUCAUGGGAAACAAAUUAGAGGAAACUACAUUUCUUGGAAAAGAGAUUGCUGGGAAGGUGAGGAAAGAGUCGUGUGGACUUGGCCACAACGUGUGGGGGAAAAAUCACUGCAUGCAUGCACCGCGCAUGGCCUGUAGACCGGGUCUUCAAAACUCAAAAAUAGAUGCAUGCACCAAGUUUGAUUUAUAUAAUGCUAAAUAGUUUACAUAAAGAAAAUAAUAAUUUCAUAUAGAGACUGAUGUUAGCUAGGGCGCAACAUGAUGUAUUAAUUAAAGCCGGUUGAAUUUAGUCGUGAAUGAAACAUACGGUCACUAAACCUAUCUGUCGUUAGUAAUUUUAUUUUUAGUAUAUAGACGGCAAAAAGUUGAAAAAACUAAUGAUUUUACAAUAGUUGUUGUUUGUUACAUGACAAUGAAGUUAAAAUUAUACGUUCGAAUUGAAAUUAUAUGUUGAAUGAUUUAAACAUAUGGACUUGACUGCAGCGAUUUCUAUACAUUUCUAUCGUGUGACAUUAUUUAUUAUUUAGUAAAUUCACAAUAUUUAAAUUAUGGAGAUUAGAGUUCUGAAAGGAGAGGUACAUAGGCUGCAUUGUAUAAUUAUACUCUGUUAUUUAUCUAUACUGAAUUUCUUUUGGCUUAAUUAUCUUUCGCUAUCGAAAUAUGUCAACGGCCGAAAUGUGUGAAGUUUUGUUUCUUCUUCUAUAUUCUUAUAUAUUUUUUAUAUUUUUUAUCUUAUAAAAUUUUUCAUUCAAUCCAUGCAUGUAGCACAAUAAAAAGCACACCAGUUUUAAGAUAUUAAAGCAUCAGAAUUGUAGAGUAGAUUUAAACUUAAUCCUCAAGAUUUAUGUUUUGAAGACUUUGGUGUAUAGACCACGGUCCAUGGAAUAAUUUCUCUGAGUAGGAUACACGUAGAGCAAGUCCAGUGUGUCCGCGUAAUCAAAUACGCUGUAGCUUGGGCGUGUUGGGAACCACAACUGCUUUGUUAUGAAGUUCACUACACGUGGCAGGUUCACGGCGGAUUGAUUAAUGAGAAAAUUCGGACCGUACGAUGGAUUGAACAUGUCGCGAGAGCCAAUAUGUGCGAGGUUCACUGAAUUCGUGGUCAACGGUCAACAUUUAAUCAUGUACAUGUGGCUUAAUUGUAUAGAAUGAGUGUGCUAAUGUGUGAAUGUUUGACUCGGUCUCUAGCCGUGGUUUGGCUCGAGUUGAGUUCUUUUGCCCUUUUUUUAAUUUUUUAAUUUUUUUUUUUUUUUGGAAAACUACAUAACUCUAUUUAUUAUUAAAAAAAAAAAAAAAAAACGAGAUUGAGACUUACGCAGCCUAAGAAAAACAAAGAAAAAUAUCAAAAGAUAUGGUAAUUAAUCUACUGAGACGCUCGAGUAGAGAUGCACGUGAAGUAGUGAAGCUUUAUGCGUAAAAGUGAAGUCGAUUAGUAAGUUUUUUUCUCCUAUGUAUAAUAGUAGAUAGUUCCGCAACCUUUGAGACUUGAAGUUCAUCUCCAAUGCUAUGUCUUAUUUGAGUCUAACAAUUCAACUGCACCUUAUUACAAUUUUAAAGUAAUAAACUUGAUAUGCAUCUCAGGAGAGUAACGCGCUUCAUGGAAUGAAAGGUCUCUUAGUUUUUCCACAUUAUAUGCUAUUAUGUUUCGGCUCUUGAGUGAAGAAGUGUAUGAUUAAGAUGAUAGUCGUUCUCUAGGGUUGAGUCGGUGGUUGGUUAAAUAGUAUGAUCUAACGGAUAAAAAUAAUCAAAGAGAUAAAUCUAACGACGAAAAAUUUAAUAGCACCAAGCGUUUGGUGUCAUUGAUAGCAUAAUAACCAGACUCUUGGAUGAAGAAAUGUGUAGUUUAGAAUAUAUUUUUUUUUGGGGAGAUAGAUAGUACGCUACCCGCUUCGUUAAUUUAUUUCAUUUAGAAAUAAACUUAGCUGGAAAUGUGAAUCAACUAGGAUUCGAACUUGGAUCUCGGGUACCAAGUUACUGGUACUAUUAGGUUUUUAGCCCUUGAAUGAAAGGAUGUGCGGUUAGAAUAAUAGUGGUCCCCUAAGGACGUGUGUGGUUGAUGGAAGGGAUGGAAGUGGAUCAAAAUUAUGAUAUCUUAUUAAUUAACUAACUAAAAUUAUGAUUUUAUCAUUAUCCUGUAAUUUAGAAUUAAUAUUAUUUUCUAGUAGGAUCUAUUUAAUUGACUUGCUACCUCUCCACAUGUUGUGGUGUGCAAACUUUGAAUAUUUAUGAUCAAUUAAUUAAUUUAAAAAUUGGAGUAAAAUUUUCUCAGUUGAUGAAACCACAAACUUACUCUACCUUAAUGGUUGAUUUAAAGAUUGUGAACUCAUAUAUUGAUAAAAUAUAAGUUAAAAGAAGUGGUUGUACAUCAUGCACAUGUACCCAAACAUGUUAUCACAAAAAUGGAUUACGAGGGACCACUUUUGAUAUUUACAACGCUUCAGAGACAGCAAUGUUAUAUAUGCUUGUUAAUUUCAGCCGCACAAAUGUUUGGUCCCUCUUUUGCAUGGUAAGUAGAAAAUGACUAGGCACCGGCAAUUGAUCUAAGAACACAACAAAACAAGAUUCCCAUCAAGUCCAAAAAUAGAAACUCAAUAGUGUAGAAAUAAAAUAAUUACGUCUAAGCAGCUUAAAAGCGUCUUCUAAGUAUUUAGAACUCCUGUUUGUAUCUUUUCUUCUUAGUUGUGUGUUCGUAUUAGCUAGUAAUAUAUCAAUAUAGAAAUUAUUGCCUACACAAAGCGCGCGCAUAUGUAUGUCUCAUCUUUCGGUUUACACUUAUAGUGACCUAAAACUAUGUAUAACCUGAGAUUUUUUUUUUCUUUUUUCAAACAAGAAAGUGGUGAUUCAAAUCGUAAUUACUGCCCUGCAAAAAACAACUAGCAAAUUUAGGUUGUAGAGAAUAUAAUAUAUAAACAAUGUUCUUUGAUGACUUGAGCUUAAUUAAGUUUUUGGUGAUAAGUGAUUGUUUUAUAUAAUUUAAUAUGGCAUGAGAAUAAGAGGUAGUAACUUGGAAUCUUACUAGAUCCCUAGUCUUAUUUAAUUAAUUCCUUCUAAUAAUUCAAACUUAUGUCUUGGCCUAUCAAGAAGUUUUACGGUGAGACAAUUAAGAGCCAGACAUGAGAGGGAGUGUUAAGAAUAAAUAAAAUAUAAAGACAUCAUUCUAUUGAGGCUUAAGUUUAAGUUUAUGGAGAAAAACGGUUGUUUUAUGUUAUUUAAUAAAGGUGGUGGUUGUUAAAAUUAAAGUUAGUAUUUACUUCAUUACCUACAUAUUCACAUUGUCAAGGACAUUUAUGCAUAAACUUAUUUAUCUAAAUGCUGCUGAUUUUUGCGCAAAUACUUAAGCUAAUUUUGUGUGUAUGAGGGCACUGGCCCAAAUAAGUAAGAUUUUACAUGCUUGAAUACUAAAUUUGUAGGAUUAACUCCGAUCGAGAUAAUGUCACAUACUUAUAGAGGUAUUUAUGCACCAAGAAAAAAGAGGCUUGCUUGCUGCCAAAAAUAUUCGAAAAAAUAUAUUUUGGUAUUCUUGGAGGUUGUUAAUAUGUCCAUCAGUACAUCUGAUAUUUUUUUUUUUUUUAGAGAUAUGUAGCACGCUACCCGCUUCGUUUAUUAUACAUAUGGUAUUUUAAACUUUGUGCACUCAUGUAUCACUCAGGAAUACUAAAAGUGCUAUGAAAGGUUCAUUUGGUUUACAGUUUGUAGAAUUUCAAUAACUCUUCAUAUUUUUUAUUAAGAAGAUUCAAAUUAUUACAAUUAAACUCAAGUUGGAUGAGCGUCAGUAACGUAGUGCAAUCAUUGUAAAUUUUUGGAUGGUAGAAAUAUUAAAUUAAUUAUCAUGAAUUAUGAGGUAUCAUUCUUUUCAUACUUGAUGAUAAUUAUUAGUAGUUCAUUAAUAAGAAUAUUUAUAUUUUCUUAACUGUCUUCCAAUCCAAGUGGUUUAAUAAGUUAGUAACAAACUUAUCUUUCCCAUAUAAAAAAUAUACAAUUUUUACAAAAUAUUACAGUGAACAAUAAUCGAGAUAUUAUUCUUUGCAUUUUGUACUUCCCAUAAUCCAUAGAGAACAAAGGUGUGCCUUAGAGAGGAAAUCACCUCUGUAAUACUUAAACAUAUCAUCAAUAACGACCGGUCAAUUAAAUCUCUCUUCUUGGAAAAAAAAUACAAUAAACAUACUAUUUUAAUAACAACGAUAAGAUGAGUGACUUCAAAAAAAAUAAUUUGUAUAAAUUGAGAAUGCUAUAUUAAUAAUAUAACUAGUGCAUUCUUUUUUCUUUUUUUUUUUCAUCACUGGGGGAGCAGUGAUUGUCACGCCCCGAGACCGUCGCAUCGAAUGUCGCCGAACCGAAGCCGCCGGAGGAACACUCACCGGCGGGAGACGUGCCGCCACCGGAGUCGCAGCAAUGCCCUCAUCCGCAGCCGCCUCAGGCGCGCGCGCCGAGGGUGCGGGCGGAUCACGGGACGUGACAGUGAUAGUGCAGGAUAUUAAUUAGUAAUCUAAUCAUUACGCAGCCAAGUUGCUACUCUGAAAGGCUCCCCCAACCACAAGUAUGUUUGCGACAUGUGCCUUUUUAAAUUGAACAAGUGGGUGGUAGAAGCAUCACUGUUUCAAGAGUCCUUCUCUAGAGAUAGGACAAAAGAAGUCCCCCGCCCCAGUCCGUACAAAUAUUGAUAAGGCUGAAUUGAUAUAUGGAUGAUGGAUUGAUAUACUGGCAUCGCCACAGCAAAUUUUAUACUCAAGAACACUUUAAAUAAUAACUAGUGAUGGUUUUAAGCGUCGGUAAAAAUAACUUCGAUGCUUGUAAAAAUAUCGAGUAAAAAAUUAUUAAAUAAAUAUAUUGGGAUAAAUAUACUCACGUUUUAAUAUAGCGUUGGAAAUUUUUGUCAGUAUUUAAUAAAUAUAAGCUUAUUGACGAUGCUUAAUCAUGAUGUCGGUACAUGUUAAAUAUUGAAUAUGCUAGAAUAGAACGUCGUCUAAAAUAUAUUGAGUAAUAAUUCAAUACACCAUGUAAAUCUUGACUAUUUAUUUUUGUAAAUAGAUAGUUGAAAUAUAAUAAGAUUCUAGAGGCGACCUACUAUUCAAGUAUAGGUACCAUUCACCAGGUACCUAUUUAAAGAGUAUUUUGGUCUUAUGAAAAUAUUUUGGUCUAUAAAAUCGGUUUUUUUCAACUAAGAAUACUAAAACCUUCUCAAAUAUCUAUAACAAUAAUUGGAAUUCAAAUUACAACUAAAUUGUAAAUUUAAAUGCAAAGAAACAUAAAAAACUUAAUUAUAAAUCAAAUUCAACUUUUAAAUAUAAAACACAAAUUUAAAUAAAACUUUCAGUGAAUUUUUAUUAUUUUAUUUAUUUAUUUAUUUAUUUAUUUAUUUUUGAGAGAAGGUAGCAUGCUACCGAAAAAAAAAAAAAAAAAAAACUCACGCCCUCUUAAGGCUAGAACAGCAAUUCACCCAUGAAAUUUUUAAUUAUUUCAUGAUUCAGGCAGAUUCAGGCAGGUUAUGAAAUAAUAGAGAUAUAGAGAUAGGGGGAGAAAAUUAAGGAGGAACAAAAUGUGAUUUUUUGGAUUGAUAAAAGACUAAUAAAAUAUAUAUAAUAUAUAUAGGCAACUCUUAAUUAACUUUCACAUUAAAUAUAAAUAAUUUGAGAAUUAUAACCGACUUAAAUCACAUGAAGCUUGAAUAGUUGUUGCUUAAAGUUUUCCUUAUGUGAUUGAAGGCAAAAGAUUUGAUUUUUGCUCCGUAAAAAAUAUCGCCGUUCAUGAUUUGCCAAAAUAACAUAUUUUACUUACAAAAUUAUUUAUCUUAUUUUGAGAAAUUGACUAGAAAGUAAAAUAUGUCGUUCCAUUCUGUACGUCUGGUUAUAUUUCUCAUCUAUUAAAACCAAUAACUUUUUGAAUGAGAUUAAGAUAUUCAUUAAUACAUACAGGGUCUAAAGAAAAAUGCUACUUGUAUGCCGGUAUAUAGGUGUAGAUCUUUAUAUCCUUCAAAUCCUAGAUUCACAAAUCCUAGUGGAUUUUAAUUAGUUAACGAAAAUACAAAAUGAUAAGACUAGUGAGGGAAUAAGGACCUUAGAUGAGUAGGAUGUAAGAUUUAUCCUAAGCGAGAGGUGUAUGUUUCAAUGCGUUUAAUUUCACUACGAUUCUAAUUAAUAUCGAAAAGUCUUCGAUACAAAAAAGGCCCUUAACUCUUAAAGCUACAAAGUUUGAGCAAUGCUUCUAUAUUUUUUAUUUUUAGAUGCCGUUCUUUGCUUUUAUUUAGUUGUGACCCGCAAUAGCAAGUUACCUUGAAAGAGAUACCGUUCAUCAGAUACUCCAAAAAAAAGUAUUUUGGUCUUUUGAUCCAGGGGUAAUUAAAUAAUUUUGCCCUCACUAUAUUAUCAAAUCUAUUCUUUUUUUGUUUCUUUUUCCUACCUCUCUAUCUUUCUUCUCCAUUCAUAGAUGGGGAGGCGUAGUUGUUUCAGGUUCAGUUUUUGGGUUAGGGUUUGGGUUUGAGUUUGACUUUCAAAUUUUUUAAUCAAUUUUGGAUUUGGAUAUGAAUUUUCGAAAUCCUUCAAGUUCACAUAUAGAUUUGGGAUUGAUAAACUUUCUUUAAAUUUAACAAUAUUUAAUUACAUAAAUAAUCUCAACAUGAAAUUACCUUUUAACCUGCUAAGGGAUAGAAUAACAAUUUUAUUCUUUAUUGAUCAAUGGUUAAGAUUUUUUUUUUAUUAUUUAUAAAAUAAGUACCGAAUUAUUUCUCACAAAGUUUUAUUUGGUGGCCCAAACAAUUGAACUCUAGAUCAGACGGUACGUGGCUGUGUGGGAUGCAAGCUCGCAUUAUCUGACUUAUUUUUUUGAUUAAUAAAUUUUACAUAAAAAUCACUUUACAGACGCACACAUUGAAACCAGGGAAUCCAAAAUAUCAUAAAUCUAAUUUUACUUUGGAUAAUUACAUUUACAUCUUACAUUUAGAAAAGAAACUACAGUAUAAUAAUCAAGCUACGUACUUUUGGUCCCCUCGCAAUAAUCAACAACUGAAUCGUUACAGCGCAUCUGUCUACAUUGAGAUGGUAUAUAUUUGAUGUUUUCCGGAACUGUGGGAUGUCCUUAUGUUCAUCAUGAGAGUGUGGUUGAUAUAGACAGAGAAAGGGAAAAGCCAAGGAGGAAAAAAAUGAGGGUUAAAGCACUAUGUUUCUUUCUAGGAUAAAUUACACUUUUACGUGCUCUUUAAACUAUAAGACGCAUAAUAUUUUAAUCUUCAAAUUUUAAGUGUUAUUUUUUUGUUUUAUUUUUUAAAAAUUAUUGCAAUCAAACUUCACAAUUUAAUUUAGCAGACUAGAUGGUAAUAUAUUGCCAAUUACUAUCAUAUUAUAGUUAUUGUCAUAUCAUCAUCUCCAAUUAAUACUGCCAAAUUAGCAAAACAUCAGUUAGUAUCUAGCUAGUUAACUUAAUUGAAAUUAUAGCAAAUUAGAAUUUAAGGACUGAAAUAUCAUGCAUCAUUUUGUGUGAGAACCAUAUGUAUAAUUUAACCCCCCUUUUUCUUCUUUUUUACUAUAGAAAUGAAUAGAAAAUGUCCACUUACCCACACAACUUUCCCUCCAAAUUAAUAUAAUGGAGCCAUAUAAAUGAGGGCGACAUCGACUUGGUCCCAGAUCUUUUUCUCCAGAGUCAAGGCUCUCUCUCUCUCUCACCUUAAUUAGUUCUCCCUUAUCAACUUGCUCCAAAGGAGCACCAUACACAUGCUUCUCCAUCAUAAUUACAAGAAAAUUACAUGCUUCAUAUAUCCACCUGCAAAAUUCGACAUUAAUAGUAGUUUAUUUAUGCUUACGUAACAACUUUUUAUUAGUUCUUUUAAAAUAUCAUGUGUAAUUAUCAGCAUAUCUAUAAAUUACACCACUCUUUAAGUGAACUGUACUAACUAACCAAUUAAAUUAA